UUUUUAUUUUCUGAAAAAUGUUCAGAAAUAAAAAAAUGUUCGUGUUUUCCAAAAAAAAUCCAAAUAUAAAGAAAUGUACUUUCUUCAAAUUUUGUUCAUAAAUGUAAAAAAUGUUCAAAAUUGAAAAAACUUUAGAAGUUCAAAAAUUAUUCUCUUAUUUCCAAAAAGAGUUCAAAAAUUUCAAAAAUUUAAAUUUCAACCACGAUUUAAUAUUUGAGAAAAUUUUCACAUUUCUCCAAUUUUGUUCACAAAUUCAAAAAAUGUGCAGCAAUUUCCAAAAAAUGUUCUUGUUUGAAAAUUUGUUCACAAAUUCGAAAACUGUUUAGUAAUUUUAAAUAUUGUUCUUGUUUUCUAAGUUGUUCAUGUUUUUAAAAUUGGUUCAGAAAAUCAAAAUGUUUACGGGGAAUUUUGAAAAAUGUUCGCAUUUUACGAAAAAUUGUUCGUAUGUCAGAAAAUGUUUAUCUUUUCAAACUCAGUACCUUUUUUUGAAAAAAUGUUCGGAAUUUCCAAAAAUCUUUGCAGUUUUACAAAAUAUGUAUGAAUACUUUAAAGUUUUAUUCCCAUUUCCUUUCUUCAUAAAACUGUUUGUGUUUUCCAUAAUAUUUUCAAAUAAUUUAGAAAUUUAUACGGUACAACAAACAAGGUACUUCUUAAACAUUUUGCGAUGCCAAAAGUCAGUUGUAGCAUUUCAACAACCAUUUAACAUUUGAGAAAAUGUUCACUUUUUUAAAAUUUUGUUCACAAAUUCAAAAAAUGUGCAGCAAUUUCCAAAAAAUGUUCUUGUUUGAAAAUCUGUUCGCAAAUUCGAAAAUUGUGUAGUAAUUUCAAAUAUUGUUCUUUUUUUCUAAGUUUGUUCAUGUUUUUAAAAUUGGUUCAGAAAUUUAAAAUGUUUACAGGGAAUUUUGAGAAAUGUUCGCAUUUUACGAAAAAUUGUUCGUAUGUCAGAAAAUGUUUGUCUUUUCAAACUUAGUUCCUUUUUUGAAAAAAUGUUUGGAAUUUCCAAAAAUCUUUGCGGUUUUACAAAAUAUGUAUGAAUACUUCAAAAAAUUUGUCCCAUUUCCUUUCUUCAUAAAACUGUAUGUGUUUUCCAUAAUAUUUUCAAAUAAUUUAGAAAUUUAUAUGGUACAACAAACAAGGUACUUCUUAAAUAUUUUGCGAUGCCAAAAGUCAGUUGUAGUUAGGGAUGUAGGACGGCGUCCCCCAAAGUCCCGCGAAACAGCCAAGCUAGCACACAGCUAGUAUAAAUUAAUCUGGCGCACUUCAAUCUGCCUAGAACUAAAAAUUUUACCAUUGAAUUAGAAGCGGGCCGGGUUCGGGCGCCGCCCUGCAACCCUAGUUGUAGUUGUUGGCUGUAGUGGCCAACAUCACUACUAGACACUCUGGCGGUCAUGAGUUUGAGUCCUUCCUCCAGCUCAUCCUAUUGCAAUUUUUCUCGCCCUAGUUUUUUUCUCCGGGCUAUCUAGCCUCGGUGCCCUGGAGUGGGCCGGCCCAGCCGCGGCCCUCCCUGUGUGUCAGCGUGUUAUUGGACGCAGCGAGCGUCCAACAUGAGCUCCCCUCUCGGAAAACCCUAUUCACCAGUAGCUGCGGCGAACUGUCGGGAGUUCGCACAGGGGCAAGCAUGCGAGCGAUGCGACAUGGGCCGGCCCACUUUUAACUUUACACAGUGCGGUCAAUGGUUUUGGGAACCUUCUAGAAGGUUCCCUCGAUCGGGUGUUUUCAUGUGAUGUUUCUUUUCUGGUUAUUCCGGGUUUCAUUCGGUUUUUGCUUUCGUUUUUUCCUUUUCCUGCUGCUUUUUUCUGUUUCUCCUUUUCUUUUCAUUUCUUUUCUUUUCACUUUUACUUUUUGUUUUACUUUUUUCAUGUUUUUUAUUUUCCAAAAAAUGUUCAGAAAUUAAAAAAUGUCCGUGUUUCCCAAAAUUUGUCCCUAAUAUAAAGAGAUGUAUUUUCUUCAAAUUUUGUUCAUAAAUGUAAAAAAUGUUCAAAAUUGAAAAAACUUUAGAAGUUCAUAAAUUGUUCUCUUAUUUCCAAAAAGAGUUCGAAAAUUUCAAAAAGUUUAAAGUUUCAACAACCGUUUAACAUUUGAGAAAAUGUUCACAUUUCUAAACUUUUGUUCACAAAUUUAGAAAAUGUGCAGCAAUUUCCAAAAAAUGUUCUUGUUUUAAAAUUCACAAAUUCGAAAACUGUUUAGUAAUUUUAAAUAUUGUUCUUGGUUUCUUAGUUUGUUCAUGUUUUUAAAUUUGGUUCCGAAAUUCAAAAUGUUUACGGGGAAUUUUGAAAAAAUGUUCGCACUUUACGAAAAUUGUUCAUAUGUCAGAAAAUGUUUGUCUUUUCAAACUUAGUUCCUUUUUUGAAAAAAUGUUCGGAAUUUCCAAAAAUCUUUGCAGUUUUACAAAAUACUCCCUCUAUAAACUAAUAUAAGAGCGUUUAGAUCACUACUUUAGUAUUCUAAACGCUCUUAUAUUAGUUUACGGAGGGAGUAUGUAUGAAUAUUUUCAAAUUUUGUUCCCAUUUCCUUUCUUCAUAAAAUUGUAUGUGUUUUCCAUAAUAUUUUCAAAUAAUUUAGAAAAUUAUACGGUACAACAAACAAGGUACUUCUUAAACAUUUUGCGAUGCCAAAAGUCAGUUGUAGCAUUUCAACAACUGUUUAACAUUUGAGAAAAUGUUCACAUUUUAAAAAAAUUGUUCACAAAUUCAAAAACUGUGCAGAAAUUUCCAAAAAAUGUUCUUGUUUGAAAAUUUGUUCACAAAUUCGAAAACUGUUUAGUAAUUUCAAAUAUUGUUCUUGUUUUCUAAGUUUGUUCAUGUUUUUAAAAUUCAUUCAGAAAUUCAAAAUGGUUACGGGGAAUUUUGGAAAAUGUUCGCAUUUUACGAAAAAUUGUUCGUAUGUCAGAAAAUGUUUGUCUUUUCAAACUUAGUUCCUUUUUUGAAAAAGUGUUUGGAAUUUCCAAAAAUCUUUGCGGUUUUUCAAAAUAUGUAUGAAUACUUUAAAAUUUUGUUCCCAUUUCCUUUCUUCAUAAAACUGUAUGUGUUUCCCAUAAUAUUUUCAAAUAAUUUAGAAAUUUAUAUGGUACAACAAACAAGGUACUUCUUAAACAUUUCGCGAUGUCAAAAGUCAGUUGUAGCUGUUGGCUGUAGUGGCCGACGUCACUACUAGAAACUCUGGCGGUCAUGAGUUCGAGUCCUUCCUCCAGCUCAUUCUAUUGUGAUUUUUGUCGCGCUAGCUUUUUUUUCCGGGCUAGCUAGCUUCGGUGCCCUGGGGUGGGCCAGCCCAAGCCGCGGCGCUCCCUGUGCGUCAGCGUGUUAUUGGACGCAGCGACCGUCCAACAGGAGCUCCCCUUUUACCCAGGCAGUGUGUUUUACCCGUACAGUUGGGUUGGUUGUCUAUUACAGCUGAUGGGCUUCUUUUUCCUUCCGUAAUUAUCGGACGUAGGAGGCCUACUGGGCCAUGGCCUAGUAAGCAUUCCGUUUGGCUGUUGUUUACUCCAGACGAAAAGGACCACGGUCUUUUUCUCAGAGAAAAAGAGGAUGAUUGGUCGAUCGCUCCACCUCCCCACGAUCCCCGCCUGUUCGUCUAUUCGAGACGGCGGCACCGUGGGUCGAUCGGAGACGGAACGGCGGCGUAUGGAGGCUGGCCUGGGAUGGGCGUGUGGCCAGGCGAUGGGCUGAGCCGGAGCUGAUCCAUCCCAGGAACGACUUGUUACAUCGGCGAGUGGCUGCUUGUCCAUUCCUUCCUGAUUACUCUAUUAGGUAAGAUUGCUAACUUUUGGAGAUUGAUAUUAGGAUUUAAAAUUUGAGGUUAGAGCAUGCGGAGUUGGUCAUUGAGGUUAUAUAUUACUUCAAUUGAAAAUUACAUUUGUAUAGUCAUUAUGUUCAUAAUUUCACUUCGUCAUUUAAUGUAGAAUUGGUCUGGGAUUUUGGUGCUAUUUUAUAUGUUUUAUAAUCAAAUCAAGGUGUAUUUUUACUGGUCAAUUUUUUGAAAACCAAGGGAUUACCUGAUAAUUCAUUGGAACCUAAUAUUUUUUGCUACACGUUUAGGUAGUGUGAAUAAAACCCGUAUGCAUCUUUUAACACAAAAUACCCCUAGUCUCGUGGAAGUGCUUUCGAGGUCCCGGGAUCAAUUACCCAUCUUGCCAGCAUACGCCAAACCAGCGCAUUACGGAAAGGAUUAUGGAGGAGUCAAACCCGCACAUUAGGGAAAGGAUUGACGUGUGUUGACCACUAGAAUGCAAAGAGAUUUGUGUAUACGAAGGGUUAAAUAUUAUGUAUUCCGCAUACAAAUAAAUUUGAAUUUAAUUUUUUUAAAUGCUUUUAGGCAAAAAAAGCCAAAAAUAUUGAGAAUUUUCAAAACCCGGCUCUUUCGCCCUCGCAGAAAACCCGGUAUCAAGAAGAAAAACUUAAGCCAAACACCCAAAAAUUCUAAAUUAUACACUUAGGUUUAAACUUGCCCAGACUUCACAAAAUUACUGGCUCCACCUCUGCAACCAGUUAAAGGUGGCCAUGUACAGAGCUAGCAAGUUUCCAAUCGAUUGGCUCAAGGGAAGCUGUCUAAUCCACGUACGCUUGUGUCAGAUCACGGGCUAACAUAUCAACUUUGCCCAAGCCAAUAGCACUAAUCGGCAUUUCCUAGGCAUACAUGCCCUAAUUCGCCUCUUACAAGCUGUCAGGCCCUAAUCGGCUUGGCCGUAACAGAGGCCGUAUUAGGCCUCCUUUGGUUUGGAGGAAUUUCAUAGGAAUUUUAGAGGAUAGGAUUCUUAUAGGAUUUUUUUCCUUUAGAGUCUUUUGGUUCAUAGGAAUGGAUUCCUAUUCCUACAUAGGAUUGGUUCCUAUCCUCCACAUUUCAUAGGAAAAUAAAAAUGAGCCUAGACUCAAUGGAAAAAUUCAUUUGGUGUCAACCAAAUGACAUCUCGUUUCCUAUUCCUACUCAUAGGAUUUGAGAUACAUGUCAUCUCAUUUCCUACAAAAUUCCUAUUCCUACGAUAAUCCUAUCCUAUGAACCAAAAGAGGCCUUAUUUGUGAAAAUUCUCAAAUCUACCGAAAAUCCAUCUCUGCACUCGAGCUCAUCUGCACCUCGCUGACGAAAAAAUCAAAACAAAUACUGGAAAAAUUCAAAAAAUUCUAAUUUUUUAUGCGGUAGAAAAUGUCAUGAGUGAGGUUCGCUCCAAUUUUCAAAUUAUUUGGACACCGGAGGAGCUUCAGCAAAAAAGAUAAAUUGGGGGUCUGUAAAAAUAUUUACUGUUCAUGUACUGUCUUGGCCCAAUUUGUCUUUUUUGCUGAGAGUUGCUUAGAUGUUCAAAUGAAUUGAAAUUUGUAACAUGCCUAACGCGUCAAAUUGUCUGACGCACAAUUUUCUUUGGAAUUUUUAAAAUUUGUUUUGAAUUUUUUACGAAUUUUUUUCUAACCGGGAGCAGAUGAGCCUGGGCAUCGAAACGCCCUACUUCAAAUCUAUGUAUUAUUUCUAGAAAUUAAGAAUGUAAGAGGAAAGAAGGAACCAAACAGAAAAACUGAAAAAGGACGCACACGCGCGUCAAUAAGAUCCACCUUUAAACCCGCGUGACUCUAUAUGGUGCAUAGGGCGCCCCCUAGCUCCCUUGUGCGCCUACUGGGCUAGCCCAUAUCGGGCGCGAGGUCCCCCAGUUUAUCUUUUUUAUUUAAUGUUUCUUCAUAUCCAGUGGAAAAUUCGUGAACAACUUUUUGUUCAUAAAAUUAAAAAAAAUCAGCCGUGUUAAAAAAUGAUCAAGAAUUCAAUAAUGUUAAUCGGAUUUAAGAAAUGUUCAUCAAAAUUCAAAAUUUGUCCAUCGAACUAAAAAUAUGUUCACCAAAUUCUAUUUUUGUUCUAUAUUUUCAAAAAAAUGUUCAUCAAAAUAAAAUUUUGUUCAUUGAAUAAAACAAUUAUUAAUCUUUUUUCACAAAAGUGUUCUGAAAUACAAAUUUUUUUCAUCAAAUUCAAUGUUUGUUCAUUGAAUAAAAAAUGUGUUCAUCAUUUUUCUAAAAAUGUUCUUGAAUAAGUUUUUAGAACUUUUUUUGAUGCCAAAUUAUUUUAACAUAGAAUAAAACCAAAAUAGAAAAAAGUAAAACCCGAAAACGAAAAUAAUAUAGGGCGCUCGCCGCCCCAUACAUGGGCCGGCCCAAUAGGGCACCUGUGGGGCUGGAGAGUCCGCGGAGGGCAGUUAGUAAAACCAAACUAAACCAAACUACCUUGAUUUGCUAGUUACGUAUGGAUUGAUUCGCUAGAAGGCAGGUUGACCUGAGGCCUGAAGUGUGCGCUAGUUUCUUUGCACUGUCGCCCUUGUACAGGAUUUGCAAGUCCGGCGACACGCCGGACUUCCGGUUCCGGCAGGCGGCGAAGUCGACUUGGCAGAAGCUGUCGAUCAGGUUGUCGCACCGCUCUGCAUGGCGGUAAAUAACAGUAACGCCAUGGCCGCGACGGCGUCGGAGGUCAUGAAGGCUAUUGCCCAUUGGUUGUUCUAUUCUAAGUAGGUCAGUAGGGUGUCGGAGAAGAGGGAGGCCACAGUAUGUGCCAGGUAGAAGUAGUGGAAAAAAGGUUGUCCUGGACUGAUCGUCGUCGAACUGAUCGGCACCGAAAGUUGGUAUGUUUUUGCCAUAUCCACCGUAGCCGAAGGCGAUCAGGUAGAUCACGAAGUAGAACACACCCAUCACCAUGCCGGAGUGUGACGCGCAUGGCAUAUGUGUUGUGCCGCAGUGGACCGGAUAGAUCAGGUACAGGCGCGACAAGAGCGCGAGCAGCUCGACCCCCUGCAGUGUGACAAAAGAGUAAGGGCCUGUUCGCAUGGGGGCGGUGGAGGGUGAUGGAUCUCGAGUAGUAUAGGACUUACCAAGGCAAAGAUUGCUUGGAAGAUGAUGCACGUCAUGUAACGGCCAAGGUAACAAUCACCGAGAAGGGGCAAAAGUGUUAGUCUCUUGUGGUGUUUCUUAGACUUCUGGGUCUGUAAUAAUAAAGUAGAUAUAUUUCGUUGGUUUGGAGAGAACUGUGCUCUCAGGUUUCUUAGUAUGUCCCCUCCCCUCUGUCGCCCCCGCGCGGGCGACCGAGGGGCACUAACCCUAGCCNNNNNNNNNNNNNNNNNNNNNNNNNNNNNNNNNNNNNNNNNNNNNNNNNNNNNNNNNNNNNNNNNNNNNNNNNNNNNNNNNNNNNNNNNNNNNNNNNNNNNNNNNNNNNNNNNNNNNNNNNNNNNNNNNNNNNNNNNNNNNNNNNNNNNNNNNNNNNNNNNNNNNNNNNNNNNNNNNNNNNNNNNNNNNNNNNNNNNNNNNCUCAUGUAAUUGCUGACCGCCUCGGAAGACAAGCAGAGGCGCACCCGAAGCUCUUGAAUCCGUCGGGCAUCUCCGCAUGGAAGAACUCCAUCAGGGGCAUGUACAUCAACACGUCAGACGUUCCCAUUACCGCGUACUGCGGCACCUGCCACAAGAUGUGCAGUUCGUUGUUGUUUGCCUCUGUCGUGCUGGCUUUCUUCCUGAAGAUCUCGACUGUGCCCGCGAUGGCCAUGGCCAGUGCGCCGAGAACAAGGCCAGCCCCCAUUCUCUGCAGGUCGGUAGGUCCGUCCGGGCGUCCGGUGAGCCAUGCGAGGAGCCGGCAGAUGACCGAGUCGAACACGACUAUCGUGUUUGCCACGGUGAGGAGGUUGGACGGAGACAUGCUUGAGGGUGGUAUUGUGAAUGCUCCCUACAUCGUGGUUCGCCUCAUCGCGCUACCUUGCAAGUAAACUCAAACCAAAUUAACUACAACCCAAACCAAGUAUGAUGCAUGGCAAGGUUAAAUGCUGUUACUCAUGGUAAAAGAUGAUGAUUGCCAAAUUAACAUCAGGAUGCAUGAAGAUUAGAUCAUUUUACAUAUAUAAAUCAUCUCCAUAAACAUGCACAAAGCUAUAAGCCUCACAAAAUGCAACAUGAUAUAGUUUACAGAAAAAGACUUGGUCGUUUUCAGGCCAAUAUUUUUUAAAUAAUACAUUUGUCCAUAAUUUCUAUAAAUAAUACAUAGAUUUGAGAAUUUACACAAAUAAUACGGCCUCCGUUUCAGCUAAGCCGAUUAGGCUCUGUCGGCUUGUAAGAGGCCCUAUACCUGUCGGCUUGAAACCUCGAUUUGUGUGACACAAGCGUAUAUGCAUAGGGCAGCGAGCCAAUUGACUGGAAAUUUGCUAGCUCUGUACAUAUAUGAUUCAAAACUUCUGAAGAUAAUAUUUCUCAAACGAUGAAUCAAAAUUUUAAUCCGUUAGCACCAUCAUGAUGUGCAUGACAAAUUCUAUAGAAAGAGCCCAAUAUCAUUAUUUCAUAUAAAAAUGUAUGUCGUGGGACCCACAUGUCAUAGACAGGAGCUGGGAUGAUCCAUAUUUGGUACAAAAAUUCUUCAAACACUCAUGUCGGGAAUUGGCAGCCCAGAGAACCAAUCAACGUGUGUAUCUGCUAUCGUGUAUCCCUGAAUGGACAUGAGCAUAUGAUAAUUAUGCUAAGCUAAGUAGGACGCCGAUGUAGUAUUCUAAUGGAACGAGAGCACUACUAGUGCACUUGGCACCGAUGGAAUGAGAGCACUAGUACUAGCGUGCAGCCAAGCCAGCUAAAGGUGGCCAUGUACAGAGCUACCAAGUUUCCAAUCGAUUGGCUCAAGGGGAGCUGUCUUAUCCACGUACGCUUGUGUCGGGCUAACAUAUCGGCUUCGCCCAAGCCAGUAGCAAUCGGCAUUUCCUAGGCCGACAAGCCCUAAUCGGCCUCUUACAAGCCGACAGGCCCUAAUCGGCAUGGCCGAAACAGAGGCCGUAUUAUUUGUGAAAAUUCUCAAAUCUACGUAUUAUUUCUCGAAAUUAUGAAAAAAAAAUGUAUUAUUUUUCUAAACAAUAGUCGUUUUCAGAACGAGUGAGUGUCACGUAUUAAACUGCGCACAGAGCGGGUUUUAGGUGCACUUCUCACAUUGGGCCGAAACCGAAGAAGCUGGGCUUGGCGAAAGUAAGACAUGCUAUUGGUAUACAGGAGUCUAGAUUUACCUGCAAGACGAAGAUCGACGCCAUCUGUGUGUACAUGACCGUGUAGAAGAUGGUGCACAUCCAAAUAGGUAGGGUCCGCAAGAUGAUCUUGACUUGCUCCACCUACGUCACCGUGCACAACUUUCAUUUAUUGCGCGGUUGGCUGCACGCGGCAACCUCGGCUGUGAGUGCCGCUCGGUCCAAGAACCUGGUGAAGGACAAAAAUAAUUUAUUAUGAGGCAAACUCUCAAGCAUAUCUUAGUCAAUUAACACUUGCAGACUAAUAUUGCUAACUGGCCUGGCCUUUUAACACUUGUGUUGGACAUUUUCCGAAUAUGCAAUGAAUAAUUAGUAAAAAAUACUUUGAAAAAUUUCAUAAUAUACGAUGAACAUUUUUUUAAUAAACGGUGAAAUUUUUAUAUAAUAUGCAAUAAAGAGAAGAAAACAUAAUUUCUUUUGAAAAAAGAACGUAAAAGGAAAGAAGGAACCAAACAGAAAAAUUGAAAAAGGACGCACACACGCGUCAAUAAGAUCCACCUUUUAACCCGCAGGACUCUGUUGGUUCCUAUUCGACGCUUUAAGCGCCCGUUACGCUGGUUCCUAUUCGGCGCCUUAAGCGCCCGUUACAGGCAUUCCUGCUAAUGGGCGCACACCCCACUCCCUUCCUUCGCUACUAAUGGGCCGGCCCAUAUCAACGUUCGCUGUAUGUUUUUAUAGCGCAAAAAAGGGCGAGGCAAGGAGAAUGGAACCCAAGACCUCCCGCUUAGUGAGACGCUGCAACAACCACCGCGCCACCUAGCCAGCUGUGAUAGCUUACAUAUUUUCUAUCCUUUCUUGUUUCAUCUUACCUUUUUCCAUUUCUUUUUUCUCUUUUCUCAAAUUUUCUUUUUUCAUAUCGAGAAAUUUUCUUUCUUCACUUUUUGUUUAAUGAAAAAUGGAUGAACUUUUUGUUUACAAAUUCAAUGAACUUUUUCCAUAAUCGAUGACCCUUUUUCAAAUUCGAUGAACUUUUUUCAAAUCUCGCGUACCUUUUUUCAACUCCGAUGAACUUUUUUAACAUUUUUUUUAUCAAAUUCGGUGAACUUUUUUUCAAUUUUGAUGAAUUGUUUUCAAAUUAGAUGAACAUUUUUUGAACGGGUGAACUUUUUUUCGAAUUCAAUGAACUUUUUUAGAAUUCUAUGAACUUUUCCUGAAUUCGAUGAAUUUUUUUGAAUUCGGUGAACUUUUUUUGGAUUAGGUGAACUUUUUUUCAAAUUUAAUGAACUUUUUUCAAACAGGGUGAACUAUUUUUUGAAUUCUGUGAACUUUUUUCAAAUCUAAUGAAAACUUUCCGAAAAUCGAUGAACUUUUUUCCAGUUUGCGAACUUCUCUUCAGAAAUGAUGAACUUUUUCGAAAAUCUAUGAAAGUUUUCUAAUCACAAUUGUUUUCAAAAAAAUUGACGCGAUACUGUGCAUAGUUAUGUGCAACAAAAAACGUUGCAACCAUGUUAUGUCAUGUUCCAUGCUGUUUCUAACCACUCAAGGCCCGUAGCUUGACUGGUUAGCGAGCUUUGAAGGUGAAGCUGACUGUGUGAGUUCGAAUGCCUAUAGUUGCAACUUUUCUUGGGUUUUUUCCGCGCUAGUUUACACUCCCGCGUUUCGCGGGCCGCCCAACCUGCAGGGCGCGUGGGUGCCGGUUCUCCUAGCCGGCGCUUAAGGCGCCGACUAGGAGCUCUCCAGGACUCUAUAUGGUGCAUUUUUUUUGAGAAAGAUCUAUAUGGUGCAUAUGGCGCCCCCUAGCUCCCUUGUGCGCCUACUGGGCUAGCCCAUGUCGGGCGCGAGGUCCCCCAGUUUUUUAUUUUUUUUCUUUAAUGUUUCUUCAUCUCGUUUUUUCUUCUUCAUCUCUAGUGGAAAAUUGGUGAAUAAGUUGUUGCUCAUAAAGUAAAAUAAAUCUUCAGCCGUGUUAAAAAUGAUCAAGAAUUCGACAAUGUUAAUCGGAUUUAAGAAAUUUUCAUCAAAAUUCAAAAUUUGUCCAUCGAACUAAAAAUAUGUUCAUCAAAUUCUAUUUUUGUUCACUGUUUUCAAAAAAAUGUUCAUCAAAUUAAAACUUUGUUCAUUCAAUAAAAAAAUUGUUCAUCUUUUUUCACAAAAAUGUUCUGGAAUACAAAUUUUGUUCAUGAAAUUCAACAUUUGUUCAUUGAAUAAAAAAUGUGUUCAUCAUUUUUCUAAAAAUGUUCUUUAAUAUAAUUUUUUUUCAUCAAGGUCAAAAAAUCUUCAUCAAAUGCAAAAAUUUGUUCGCCAGUAUUAAAAAUGCUCAUAAAACUUGUUUUGAAUUGAAGAACUAUUUUAAAAAUUUGCAGUUAUUUUAAAUUUUUAGAAUUUUUUAUGCCAAAUUAUUUUAACAUAGAAUAAAACAAAAAUAGAUUAAAAAGUAAAACUAGAAAAUGAAAAAUAAUAAAGGGCGCGCCCCGUCCCACACAUGGGUCGGCCCAAUAGGGCACCUGUGGGGCUGGAGAGUCCGCCCGGGGGGCGCCUCACGCACCGAAUAGAGCUCCCUUUUAACCCGGCCGCAAGUUAGUAAAACCAAACUAGACCAAACUACCUUGAUUUGCUAGCUACGUAUCGAUUGAUUCGCUAGAGGGCAGGCUGACCUGAGGCCUGAAGUGUGCGCCAGCUUCUUUGCGCCGUCGCCCUUGUACAUGAUCUGCAAGUCCGGCGACACGCCGGACUUCCGGUUCUGGCAGGCGGCGAAGACGACUUGGCAGAAGCUGCCGAUCAAGUUGUCGCUCCGCUCUGCGUGGCGGUAAACAGCAGUAACGCCAUGGCCGCGACAGUGCCGGAGGUCGUGAAGGCUACCACCCAUUGGUUGUUCUCUUCUAAGUAGGUCAGCAGGGUGUCAGAGAAGAGGGAGGCCACAAUAUGUGCCAGGUAGAAGUAGUGGAAAAACGUUGUCCUGGACUGCUCGUCGUCGAACUUAUCGGCGCCGAAAGUUGGUAUGUUUUUGUCAUAUCCACCGUAGCUGAAGACGAUCAGGUAGAUCACGAAGUAGAACACACCCAUCACUAUGCCGGAGUGCGACCCGCAUGGCAUAUGCGUUGUGCCGCAGCCGACCGAAUAAACCAGGUACAGGCGCGACAAGAGCGCGAGCGGCCCGACCCCCUGCAAUGUGACAAAAGAGUAAGGCCUGUUCUCACGGGGGCAGUGGAGGGUGAUGGAUCUCGAGUAGUAUAAGACUUACCAAGGCGAAGAUUGCUUGGAAAAUGAUGCAUGUCAUGUCACGGCUAAGGUAACAGUCGCCGAGAAGGGGCAGGAGUGUUAGUCUCUUGUGGUGUUUCUUAGACUUUUGGGUUUGUAAUAAUAAAGUAGAUAUAUUUCAUUGGUUUGGAGAGAACUAUGCUCUCAGGUUUCUUAGUAUGUCCCCUCCCCUCCAUCGCCCUCGCGCAGGCGAUCGAGGGGCUCCAACCCUAGCCGUCGGGUCAAUGUUCCUUCCUCUGCCUCCCCUUUGUCCGCGUCGUGGUCGGCGCCGGGCAUAGCAUGUGUGUGCGACGGCGACGACGGAGGCACUCCUCCCUCUCGCGGGUCAUAGGUGAAGCGGGGCGCCCUGGCUCGAGGGUGUCACCCCGAUCUGUACUGCGGCGGCGCCGGUCUGGUUCAUGACAGUCCAGAUCUGGACUACGACGGUGUGACGUCCGACCGGCGUCCUAAUGGCGGCUGUGGUGGUAGUGCUGGCGACGACGAUGGUUGUGGCGCGGCAUGGUGGGCCUGGUGGUCGCGUCAGUGACACCUCCGGUUAGAUCCGUUCUGACCGGUGCAGCUGGCGGUGGUGGUCAUCUCUUCCGUCAGAGAUGGUCGGCCUGCGGCUGGGUGCUCGGAUCUCGAGAUUCGUCAUGUAGUCCCGGCUACGAGUCGGGCAGACAUAGUUGUCGGUGAAAACCGAGCCGUUGGCGGAAUGGCGGUGUUUUGCGUCGUUACCUUGAUGAAGGCAUCGUCGUGUAACUGUUGUCGACCCACUUAUGUUGCUUCUAGGGAAACCCUAGGAUCUGGUCUUCCAGAUCGGACGAUGGCAGUACUAUGGUGUCGUUUCUCUCUCGGGAGCAUUGUUUGUAGAGCAGCGUUGGAAGACAGAGCCAGGAGGUGGAGCGGCUUCAUCUUGCACGGAGCUUCGGUGGAGCUGUCAAGUCAUGCCUGGUUGACAGGUGCUACGCUGAGCCAUGCCUGGUUUGGCAGGUGCUACGCACGACAGAUCUUUCAGAAUCUUUGCGUCUGGACGGUCGAGCGCAGGGGCGGUGGCGCCAUUAGGCGCCGUGGUGGCGUCGACGGAUGUCCGGACUGGUAAGGAUGAUGUGGAUCUCUCUUCUGAAGAUGGGUUAGUGGCUCGAUGAUGAUGGUGCCUUCUAAAACCUAUGCAUGUGGUGCAUGCUUUAGGUAGGCUGCACUGAGUGUUGGUCCUAUUACGUUAUGUGGAUGGAUCGGCGAUGACACGGUUUUAGAUAUGGAGAGUGAGAGCACUCCAUGUUAUCAACUUUGUAGGUGUGAGUGGUGACUUCGGAUGGAUUGAUGUAUGUUCAUGUCAAACCUUUAUGAAAUAAUUAAUAAAGAUGGCUGCAUGCAUUGAUUGAUGCAGAGGCCGGGGGUCUGACCACCUUUUCUAAAAAUAAUAAAAAAAAGGUUUCUUAGUCUGCUAAACUAGCUGGGAUGAUGGUUGCAUCGGUGGGUGCUGUGUUUGUGGUUUUGAUCCAACUCUGGCUUCUAGCUUUGCCUCAUUAAUAAAAAUGGGGCGGAGAACCCCUUUCAUUUAUAAAAAAAACGUAACAGUCGCCAAGGAUGCUAUUGGGCGUGCGCUUGCUCUCGCGAGCGAUUUCCGACCAAGCGGUUAGGCUUUAUUAGGUAACCACGUCUAAACAGGAAUCCCUUUAAAUUGGAAGGGGAGAGAGAUAACUGGAGAGAUUAACCGUGGGAAGAAGGAUUAUAGAGAAUAUCUUACAUGCCCACGUUGAAAUCAGGAGGGCCAUAGAUAUUAGAGGGGAGAUUUCUUUAGGCCCAUAUGAAAAUCAGGGGACAGAAAGAUUAGAAUCACGGGGAGAGAAAGAUUGGGAUAGAGCGUUGCCACACUCGCUCGUGAAAGAGCGUUUCCGCAAUGAUUGAGCACAUCAUGACCGUCCCCGCCCAAACGGUGACAUUGUUGGUCGCGUCGCCAUUGUUCUGCUGCAGCACCAGCGAAAAUAACAACACCAAAUUGACUUGUACUCCCUCCGUUUCUUUUUAGUCCGUAUAUAAAGUUUGGUCAAAGUCAAGCAUUAUAGAGUUUAACUAACUUUAUAUUAAAAAAUAUAAACAUUCACAAUAUGAAAUCAAUAUAUUCAGAUGCACCAUGAAACAUAUUUUCAUACUAUAUAGUUUUAGUACUGUAGACGUUCAUAAUUUUUUAUAUAAAUUCGGUCAAACUUUGUGUAGUUUGACUUUUAACAAAUCUUAUAUGCGGAGUAAAAAAAAAAUGGAGGGAGUACAAUGUAGAAACCCAUCGACGCAAAGCACUGGUUCGCUGCACCCCAGCAUGAAGAAUUCCGUCAGUUACUCACAGUUUUUGUAAAACUCUUAUAUGUACUAGAAGAAGUUAUACGUACUUACCUAGUAUCAAGAAUGCAGAAGACCAUCCUCCUGCUGACACAUUUGACAAUUGUACAUCUUGUCUGGCACCAUCAUUCGCCGGCUGGCGUUCCACUUUCAUCGGCGCCGACUCCCUCUUUUCGUCUUCAUCCGUAAUAGGACGGAUUUCAUCUCCAUGAUAUGCGAUGGGGUAGAAACGGCGGCGAACAAUUUAGUCUACAUUUACUCUACUAAAGUCUGAUUUUUGACAAAGAGGAGCAUGCACAUCAUCGUCUCAAGCAUACCUGGCAUGAGGACGACAGAAGACAAACUCCUGACACAUUGGACGAUAGUACAUCUUGUCUGGCACCAUCUUUCGUCGGCGGNNNNNNNNNNNNNNNNNNNNNNNNNNNNNNNNNNNNNNNNNNNNNNNNNNNNNNNNNNNNNNNNNNNNNNNNNNNNNNNNNNNNNNNNNNNNNNNNNNNNNNNNNNNNNNNNNNNNNNNNNNNNNNNNNNNNNNNNNNNNNNNNNNNNNNNNNNNNNNNNNNNNNNNNNNNNNNNNNNNNNNNNNNNNNNNNNNNNNNNNNNNNNNNNNNNNNNNNNNNNNNNNNNNNNNNNNNNNNNNNNNNNGAUCUGCGAUGGGGUAGAAACGGCCGCGAACAAUUUAGUCUACAUUUACUCUACUAAAAGUCUGGGUUUUGAAAAAGAGGAACAUGCACAUAAUCGUCUCAAGCAUACCUGGUAUGAGACGCAGAAGACCAAACUCCUGACACAUUUGACGAUAGUACAUUUUGUCCGGCACCAUCAUCCACCGGCGGGCGUUCCACUUCCACUGGCCCGACUCCCUCUUUUCGUCUUCAUCCGUAAUAGGGCGGAUUUCAUCUCCAUGAUCUGCGAUGGGGUAGAACGAGCGGGCAAGAAUAAGUUUAGUCCACAUUUACACUAAUAGAAAUCUUCAUCUCGGCAAAAAUAAUGUUGCACAUAACUGGUCUCAAGCAUCCCAUUGUUAGAGUAUAGGAAGAAAUGAAGCAUUCUCAGGGCGUAUGGAUCUGAGCUGUUGGAUUAGUUGUCCAAACUGAUCGGAGCUAUCGGAUCUUUGUCUGGAUCGAUCCUGGCCAUUGGAUCUUCGUUUGGAUCGAUCCUGGCCGUCGGACCGAACGAAACACUGCUGCAAUGAACAGUGUGGUGCCACCGCCUGUAAAUCCCAUGCCCCACCGAGGGCAUUCUCGUAUUUUCAAACGCAGGCGUAUAAAAGGCCGCUCGCCCGUUCGUAACCCUAGCCGCCUCUUUCCUUUCCCUCUCCCCAGCCCUCGCCCCUCGCCCCGACUCCCCUAUCUCUUCCCCCGUCCCUCACGCCGCAACCCUGCCUCCUCUCCCCCCUGUUGCCGCCGACCACCCAUGCCCGCCGAUAACCCGCAAGUAUACGGGAUAGUUGUAGCCUCUUUCGAUAAGUAAGAGUGUCGAACCCAACGAGGAGCUAAAGGAAGAACAAAUACUCUCUCAAGUCCUAUCGGCCACUAAUACGACUCUACGCACGCUUGAUGUCCGCUUUAUCUAGAACAAGUAUGAAACUAGAAGUACUUUGUAGGUGUUGUUUGAUAGCUUUGCAAGAUAAUAAAGAAAGCGUAAAUGAAAAGUAGGGGCUGUUUAGAUAAAGAUGCAAAUAAAGUAAAUAUAGCGAGUGUGGAAAAGUGGUGGUAGGAUUUGUGGAAUUGUCCCUAAGCAAUUGACUAUGUUACUAGACCGGUAAUCACUAUUGCAAUUCUAUUUGAGGGAGAGGCAUAAGCUAACAUACUUUCUCUACUUGGAUCAUAUGCACUUAUGAUUGGAACUCUAGCAAGCAUCCGCAACUACUAAAGAUUCAUUAAGGUAAAACCCAUCCAUAGCAUUAAAGUAUCAAGUCCCCUUUAUCCCAUACGCAAACAACCUACUUACUCGGGUAUGUGCUUCUGUCACUCAUGCCACCCACCAUAAGUAAAUCAUAAACAUAUUGCAAACCCUACAGCGGGAAUCCCUCACGCUUGCGCGACACAGAGAGCACCAUAGGACAGCACCAAUAAUAAAACAUGCAACUCAAACCAAUCAUAGCAAUUCAUCAAUCACCGAUAGGACAACGAAAAUCUACUCACAUCAUAGGAUCAACACAUCAUUGGAUAAUAAUAUGAAGCAUAAAGCACCAUGUUCAAGUACAGGGUACAGCGGGAUGCGGGAGAGUGGACCGCUGAAUAUAGAAGGGGGAAGGUGAUAGAGAUGUUGGUGAAGAUGACGGCAGUGUUGGUGUAGAUCGCGGUGAUGAUGAUGGCCCCGACGGUGUUCCGGCGCCACCGGAAGCAAGGGGGAGAGAGCCCCCUUCUUCUUCUUCCUUGACCUCCUCCCUAGAUGAGAGAAGGGUUUCCCCUCUGGUCCUUGGCUCCCAUGGCGUGGGAGGGGCGAGGCCCCUCCGAGAUUGGAUCUAUCUUUCUGUUUUUGCGUUCUCAGAUUCUACCCCUUCACUGUUUCUUUAAUAUCCGGAGAUCCAUAACUCCGAUUGGGGUGAAUAUCUCGCCCAAAUUUUUCUCAUAAAAUUAGCUUUCUUUCGGCAAAAGAAGGGCAUCAAUCGCCUUACGGGUGGCCCACGAGAGUGCCAGGCGCGCCCCCUGUCUCGUGGCCACCUCGGACACCGUUUCACGUUGAUUCUUUCUCCGGAAAAUCUCAAAUAUUCCAAAAUAAUUCUCCGUCCAUUUCUAUCCCGUUUGGACUCCGUUUGAUAUUGGUUUUCUGUGAAACAUAAAACAUGCAACAAACAGGAACUGGCACUGGGCACUGGAUCAAUAUGUUAGUCCCAAAAAUAGUAUAAAAAGUUGCCAAAAGUAUAUGAAAGUUGAAGAAUAUUGGCAUGGAACAAUCAAAAAUUAUAGAUACGACGGAGACGUAUCAACAUCCCCAAGCUUAAUUCCUGCUCGUCCUCAAGUAGGUAAAUGAUAAAAAGAUAAUUUUUGAUGUGGAAUGCUACCUAGCAUAAUCUUGAUCAAAUAUCUAAUCAUGGCAUGAAUAUUAAGACACGAGUGAUUCAAAGCAAUAGUCUAUCAUUUGACAUAAAAAUAAUAAUACUUCGAGCGUACUAAUAAAGCAAUCAUGUCUUUUCAAAACAACAAGGCCAAAGCAAGCUUAUCCCUACAAAAUCAUAUAGUUUGGCCAUUCUUCAUUUCUGUCACACAAAAAUGCUUCCAUCAUGCACAACCCCGAUGACGAGCGGAGCAAUUGGUUCAUACUUUCUAAUACGCUUCACCUUUUUCAACCCUCACGCAAUACAUGAGCGCAAGCCAUGGAUAUAACACUAUAGGUGGAAUAGAAUAUAAUGAUGGAGGUUAUGUGGAUAAGACAAAAAAAGGAGAAAGUCUCGCAUCGACGCGGCUAAUCAACGGGCUAUGGAGAUGCCCAUCAAUUGAUGUCAAUGCAAGGAGUAGGGAUUGCCAUGCAACGGAUGCACUAGAUCUAUAAGUGUAUGAAAGCUCAACAAAAGAAACUAAGUGGGUGUGCAUCCAACUUGCUUGCUCAUGAAGACCUAGGGCAUUUGAGGAAGCCCAUCGUUGGAAUAUACAAACCAAGUUCUAUAAUGAAAAAUUCCCACUAGUAUAUGAAAGUGACAAUAUAAGAGACUCUCUAUAUGAAGAACAUGGUGCUACUUUGAAGCACAAGUGUGGAAAAAGGAUAGUAACAUUGCCCCUUUUUUUCACUUUUGGGUGGGCUUCUUUGGCCCCCUUUUUAUUUAGGAUUUUUUGGCCUUUACUUUUUUUUUCUUUUCUUCUUCUUUUUUAUGGGGCAAUGCUCUAUAAUGAUGAUCAUCACACUUUUAUUUACUUACAACUCGAUACUAGAACAAAGAUAUGACUCUAUAUGAAUGCCUCCGGCGGUGUACCGGGAUGUGCAAUGAUCUAGCAUAGUAAUGACAUCAAAAAAUGGACAAGCCAUGAAAACAUCAUGCUAUCUAUCUUACGAUCAUGCAAGGCAAUAUGACAAUGAAUGCUCAAGUCAUGUAUAUGAUGAUGAUGGAAAUUGCAUGGCAAUAUAUCUCGGAAUGGCUAUGGAAAUGCCAUGAUAGGUAGGUAUGGUGGUUGUUUUGAGAAAGAUAUAAUGAGGCUUAUGUGUGAUAGAGCGUAUCAUAUCACGGGGUUUGGAUACAUCGGCAAAGUUUGCACUGACUCUCGAGGUGAGAAAGGGCAAUGCACGGUACCGAAGAGGCUAGCAAUGAUGGAAAGGUAAAAGUGCGUAUAAUCCAUGAACUCACAUUAGUCAUAAAGAACUCAUAUACUUAUUGCAAAAGUUUAUUAGCCCUUGAAGCAAAGUACUACUACGCAUGCCCCUAGGGGGAUAGAUUGGUAGGAAAAGACCAUCGCUCGUCCCCGACUGCCACUCAUAAGGAAGACAACCAAAGAAACACCCCAUGCUUCAAAUUUGUCACACAAUGGUUACCAUACGUGCAUGCUACGAGACUUGAAAACCUCAACACAAGUGUCUCUACAAUCCACAACCACCCACUAGCAUAACUCUAAUAUCACCAUCUUUAUAUUGCAAAACUAUUGCAAGGAAUCAAACAUAUCAUAUUCAGCGAUCUACAAGUUUAUGUAGGAUUUUAUGACUAACCAUGUGAAUGACCAAUUCCUGCCAUCUCUCUAAAUAGAUAUAAAUGAAGCAAGAGAGUUUCAUUCUUUCUAUAAAAUAUAUGCCCACGCUCUAACAAAUAUAAAUGAAGCAAAAGAGUAUUCUACAAAUGGCGGUUUUCUAUGUGAAGAGAAACAGGCAAUCCAAAUUUCAAACGAUAUACGUGAAGCACAUGAAGCAUUCCAUAAAGCCAUACUCAAAAGAUUUAAGUGAAGUGCAAUGCGCAUUCUAUAAAUCAACCAAGGAAUAUCUCAUACCAGCAUGGUGCAUAAAAAAAUGAAAACUAAAUGCAAAAGACGCUCCAAGACUUGCACAUAUCACAUGAACGAAACGAAUCCGAAAACAUACCGAUACUUGUUGAAGAAAGAGGGGAUGCCCUCCGGGGCAUCCCCAAGCUUAGACGCUUGAGUCUCUUUGAAUAUUUACUUGGGGUGCCUUGGGCAUCCCCAAGCUUGAGCUCUUGCCUCUCUUCCUUUUCCUCACAUCGAGACCUCCUCGAUUAGACACUUCAUCCACACAAAACUUCAACAGAAAACUCGGUAAGAUCCGUUAGUAUAAUGAAGCAAAUCACCACUCUAAGUACUGUUGCAAACCAAUUCAUAUUUUGUUUUUGCAUUGUGUCUACUGUAAUAUAACUUUUUCAUGUCUUAAUCCACUAAUAUAAAUUGAUAUAUUCAUCAAAACAAGCAAACUAUGCAUCAAAAAACAGAAUCUGUCAAAAACAGAACAGUCUGUAGCAAUCUGAACAUUCACAAUACUUCUGUUACCCCAAAACUUCUACAAAAAUUAGGAAAAAUAACCCAUUUGUACAGAAAUACAGUGCAAAAUGAGUCAGAACCAUUUGACGUUCCAGUUAAAAAUGUAAAAUCUAGCACUACAGCCAAAGUUUCUGUCCUCCACCGUACAAACCAACAAGCAUUGUAAACAUCCUAAAGGCAAACCUUGGCACAUUAUUUUUAUAAUACAAUGGAAUUGUACAAGGGGAUAAUUAUUUUUGAUGAAAAGUUUCUGUAAUCAAGAUUCACAAAGUUUCCGUGAGCAUGAACAAAGUUCAAGGCUAGCUCCCACUUCAACAAUGCUUGUCUCUCUCACUUUCACUUUCCUUUUUGAAAAGUUUUGGUUUCCACUCUUUAUUUUUUUUGUUUUUAAACUAUAUAAAAGCACUCAACAGAAAUAAAUGACUCUCUAAAACUUUGGGUUGUCUCCCUGGCAGCGCUUUCUUUAAAGCCGUUAAGCUAGGCAUAUAGUGCUCAAGUAAUGGAUUCACCCGGAUCCCAAGGUAUAUCAAAGCCAAUUUUAAUUAACAAUGAUUUGUAAUAUAGUAGUGAGCACAAAGUAACAUAUAUCAUGCAACAACGAAGUCUAACUAUCUUCCUAUGCAUCGAUAUGUCAUAAAAGAACAAUCCAUGCACACCAAAUAAAGGCCAAUGCAUAGUAUAAGCAGUUUCUUGCAAUUAUAUCGUGUUGGAAAUAUAAAGAGGCAGAGAUGUAGUUCCUCUCUCAUAAUAAUUGCAAGUAGGAGCAGCAAGCACAUGCAUAUUAUAUCUAUCAAAAUCAUCAUGUGCAACGGUAAAAGGCAACCCAUCAACAUAAUCCUUAAUAAGCACAAACUUCUCCAAUAUAGUGUAGUUUGGAGAAUUCAAAGAGAUAAUAGGACUAUCAUGCGUGGGUGCAAUAGCAACAAUUUCAUGUUUAACAUAAGGGACUAUAGCAAGUUCAUCUCCAUAAGCAUAAUUCAUAUUGGCAUCUUGGCCACAAGCAUAGCAAGCAUCAUCAAAAUGGGAUAUUUCAAGAGAAUCAACGGGACCAUAGCAAUCAUCCUUCGGUAAGCACGAAGGGGAAUUAAACAAUGUAUGAGUUGAAGAGUUACUCUCAUUAGAAGGUGGGCACGGGUGAUCAAUCGGCUCUUCCUCCUUUUGUUCUUCGCUCUCCUCAUCAUCUUUUUCAUCCAAUGAGCUCACAGUUUCAUCAAUUUCUUCUUCCAUAGCUUCCUGCAAAAUAUUAGUCUCUUUUUGGACAGCGGAGACUUUCUCAAUAAAUGCAUUAAUAUAGUAAUUGUAUUCAUAAUUUUCAUAGGAAUACCUAAGUAUAGCAAGAUUUUAAAGCCUAUAAACAUCAUCAUCUAAAGCUUCACACUUUUCAAACAAAGAUUCAAUUUCAUAAGCAGCCUUAAAAGCAACAAAUUCUUCAAUUUGUUCAACAUCACAGUAAUCAUAUACUCCCUCCGUUCCUAAAUAUAAGGUGUAUUAGUUUUUCAAAAAGUCAACUGUUGUCUAUGUUUUACCAACUUUAUAGCAAAAUAUAUAAAUAUUUAUAAUACCAAAUAUAUAAAGUGUAAAAAUAUAGUUCAUGAUGAAUCUACUGAUAAUGAUUUGGUAUUCUAGAUAUUGAUAUUUUUGUCUAUAAACUUGGUCAAACUUAGAGAAGUUUGACUUUUUGAAAAAAUAAUACACCUUAUAUUGAGGAACGGAGGGAGUAUACCAUUAGCAUAAGAAGCUAAGGUUUCAUUCUCAUUAAAUUUGCAUGAAAAGGGAAGGUGUGGAUCCUUCAUCCUAGAGCAACAAGUAAUAUCAUAUCUCAAGCAUAGAUACCGAGCAUACCAACACAACAUAGUAAAUUGAUCCCAUAAUAGUUUCCCUUUUUGUGUCAAGCAAUAAUCCCUAAAGUAUUCACGUUGAUCCAGCAUGUCUCCCAUUAUAAAGUUGAAUGGGGUUUUCUCAGGAUUAUCAAAGUAGUACAUAAUAUCUUCCACAAAGUGAGAAUCGAGGGUUUUAGGAGUUACCCCAUCUCUAUGAGUAGCAAGUACACCUAAUUUUUUUUGGUAUUUUGUGUUCCAUAUCCAUAACUAAAGAUAGUGAACAACUUAGAACAGCAAAUAAAAAUUACUCAGUGAUAAAGCAAACAAGCACACACGAGAAUAUUCACCCCGCGCUAUGACUCCCCGACAACGGCGCCAGAAAAAGGUCUUGAUAACCCGCAAGUAUACGGAUUUUGUAGCCUCUUUCGAUAAGUAAGAGUGUCGAACCCAACGAGGAGCUAAAGGUAGAACAAAUACUCUCUCAAGUCCUAUCGGCCACUGAUAUAACUCUACGCAUGCUUGACGUUCGCUUUACCUAGAACAAGUAUGAAACUAGAAGUACUUUGUAGGUGUUGUUUGAUAGCUUUGCAAGAUAAUAAAGAAAGCGUAAAUGAAAAGUAGGGGCUGUUUAGAUAAAGAUGCAAAUAAAGUAAAUAUAGCGAGUGUGGAAAAAUGGUGGUAGGAUUUGUGGAAUUGUCCCUAAGCAAUUGACUAUGUUACUAGACCGGUAAUCACUAUUGCAAUUCUAUUUGAGGGAGAGGCAUAAGCUAACAUACUUUCUCUACUUGGAUCAUAUGCACUUAUGAUUGGAACUCUAGCAAGAAUCCACAACUACUAAAGAUUCAUUAAGGUAAAACCCAACCGUAGCAUUAAAGUAUCAAGUCCCCUUUAUCCCAUACGCAAACAACCUACUUACUCGGGUCUGUGCUUCUGUCACUCACGCCACCCACCAUAAGCAAAUCAUAAACAUAUUGCAAACCCUACAGCGGGAAUCCCUCACGCUUGCGCGACACGGAGAGCACCAUAGGACAACACGAAUAAUAAAACAUGCAACUCAAACCAAUCAUAGCAGUUCAUCAAUCACCGAUGGACAACGAAAAUCUACUCAGACAUCAUAGGAUGGCAACACAUCAUUGGAUAAUAAUAUGAAGCAUAAAGCACCAUGUUCAAGUAGAGGGUACAACAGGAUGCGGGAGAGUGGACCGCUGAAUAUAGAAGGGGGAAGGUGAUGGAGAUGUUGGUGAAGAUGACGACGGUGUUGGUGUAGAUCGCGGUGAUGAUGAUGGCCCCCGGCGGCGUUCCGGCACCACUGGAAGCAAGGGGGAGAGAGCCUCCCUUCUUAUUCUUCUUCCUUGACCUCCUCCCUAGAUGGGAGAAGGGUUUCCCCUCUAGUCCUUGGCUCCCAUGGCGUGGGAGGUGCGAGAGCCCCUCCGAGAUUGGAUCUAUCUCUCUGUUUCCGCGUUCUCAGAUUCUACCCCUUCAUCGUUUCUUUAAUAUCCGGAGAUUCAUAACUCCGAUUGGGGUGAAUCUUUCGCCAAGAUUUUUCUCAUAAAAUUAGCUUUCUUGCAGCAAAAGAAGGGCAUCAACCUCCUUACGGGUGGCCCAUGAGAGUGCCAGGUGCGCCCAGGGGGUGUGGGCACGCCCCCUGUCUUGUGGCCACCUUGGACACCGUUUCGCGUUGAUUCUUCCUCCGGAAAAUCCCAAAUAUUCCAAAAUAAUUCUCCGUCCAUUUUUAUCCUGUUUGGACUCCGUUUGAUAUUGGUUUUCUGUGAAACAUAAAACAUGCAACAAACAGGAACUGGCACUGGGCACUGGAUCAAUAUGUUAGUCCCAAAAUAGUAUAAAAAGUUGCCAAAAGUAUAUGAAAGUUGAAAAAUUAUAGAUACGACGGAGACGUAUCACCCGCCAGCCAUCCUUCCCGCCCGCUGCCGCCGCAAACCAUCCUCAUCGUCCGCCGCCACCUCGCUCUCGCAUCCACACCCACGCCCGUGAUUUCCCCCUCCCUGCUUCUGUUGCCGACGCGCCUCCUCUCCGUCAGCUCCCUCUCACCGCCCCGACACCCGUUCUUCUAUAGCGCUAGGAGGGAAGCAACCUGGUGCUCGCGCUGCUACUCCCAAGUCGAGUUCGCCGCGUCACAUUCACCAAGUGGAGGCCCCGUUGAGCUCUCUGUGUCGUCAUCAUUCUGCGGAGUGGACGGCGCCGCUUGCACGUCUGCUUCACAUGGAGGAGCGCGCCAUUGCCAUCGAUGUGAGAUGGGGUUGUCGUUGACGUGUCGCGGGAGUGGGAGAGCGAGAUCUGGUCCAGGCGGACGGGGACGAAAAUGAGUCGACAUCUGUAACAUCCCAAGCAUCACACUAUAGUAAUCCCUUAUGAUCAGUGCCAAGCCAUCUUGAUUUACAAAGCUUAAUCAUGUUGGGAUAAUAUCUCAACUCAAGUCCCUUCUCUGAAUUCUAUUCAAAUUCAAAGUGAAAUUUGAAGUUGCACAAAACUUGCUAGAAAAAUGUUCAUCAUUUAGCCAAAUUCCAUAACAUUUAAUUGUUAAGGAAAACAACAUCACCAUUGAGCUAAGAUGGACAGUAGCAAUUAUUUCAUUGCAACUUCAGCAUUUUUGAAUGCCAUUUUAUUUGUGAAAAAUGUAAAUCACAUCCCCUGUCCUCCAAACUUUUUGCGGCACUGACUAAAAAUGCCUUGGAUUUUAUGGGCCCAGUUCCAUGAUUUAUUUAAGAUAUUUGGAUGCCCAAUCAACUUCCUUUCUCUCUCUGUUUAUUAAACAAAAGAAAAACAGAAAAGAGAAAAGAUAGAACAGGAGAAAGCCCAUACAUGCGCUACAGCCAGCUAGCUACAGUUGCCGGCCCAGCCCAGCCGGUCGUCUCCCCUCUGACUCUCCCUCUUGCGUGUCGCCAAGGCCGCGCAUGAUUCCUUCCUCGCCAGUCGGAUUCUCGACACGGAGGCGCUACAGGAACAUGAGGAGGAGGAUAAGACUCAGCUCACCCCAUGCAGAACCCUAGAACGCCCAUUCCCCCCCCUCGCCUCAUCCUCUUCGUUUCGUGGUAGCCACCAAAAGCAGCCACCACCGAACGCCAUCGAUCUCGUGCUCUAAAGCCGCAUCAUGUUGCAAGCUAUUGUCCAGGACGUUCGUCAUCGUCGCCCUCAUCGCCUCAGGGGACCGGAUCGACCUGAGGAGCACCAAAACCGCGGAUGGACUGCUUCUUCUUCCUCUGUCGCCGCAGCUUCACCGCCGUCGAUCUGAUCCCUUACUACUACUAAACCAUCGACGGGACCCCAUGCGCCCCCUAAGUAAGCUCCGCGUCCAUCCCCUCUAUUUUCGGUGUCGAUCUCGACCUCUAUAUGCGGCCACCACCGUUGCCGAACCCACUGCCGCUCGGACUCGUCGCCGGCGAGGUUCCAAUGAACCUAUGGUCGGCGUGCGUACACCCACUGGCCUCCCGCACGCCUGUAUCUCCCUCCUAGCUCGCCAGCUCGCUCGAUCUCGAGCUCCUGCGCCAUAGCCGCACCCUACCGAGCUCGGGCCGUCUCCGUGGUCGCUGUCGUGCCCGCACGCCCCUAGUCGCGUCCGGCCACAGAUGCCGCUUCCUGGCUGCGCCCAUGCACGCGCCCGCCUGCGCGUGGCCGUGCCCCUGCUGUCGCCGCUCUGCCUGCACUGCUACUGCCUUAGCCGCCGCUGCACUCUGCUGCUGCUCCACUCCUACAGUAACAUUCAGUUACUUAGCAGUAGCUAGCUUGGUUGGUGCUACGCUGACUGGCCCUCUGUACAGCCCCUAAACAACAACUGAACAACAAUUAAUAUGAGUAAAAUUCAUGUGGGCAGGUAGUACACUUGACAAGGUUCAAAACAUCCCAUUGGACCAAAUUCAUAAGAUGUAAGGAUUAAAUCCUAUGAAAAUCACAAAAUCCUAUGUUCGUAUAUUUUAACAGUUUCUGGAAUUAACUUAAAGUGGAACUUUUCAAAUGCAGUUUCGAUCAAGCAACUAAACUCUAACAUGGAUGUCAAUGAUACUAUCAUGUAGAUCACAGAAAGAUGAUAAAAAUGGUAAAGGGCACUAAGCCAUAGGAUGGACAAAACUACAGUAAUAGCCUUCGGAAUACAGCUAAGUGGCGUUAAAACUGAGCGAUUCUCAGACAACCAAUUGUCAGGAAAUUCCAAUUAACUAUUUAAAACUUUGAAAAAACGUAGAAAAAUGAUCGCAUGUCAGAUAAAAAACUUUAUAUAUGAAAGUUGCUCAGAAUGACGAGACGAAUCCGAAUACGCCCUCCUCAUACCUGUCACAUGCCUAUAGCAUGAUGAACAUGGAACUUUCCCCUCCGUUUCAUCUGUCCAAUAAUCACCCGGAGCUGGGAGAACACUACCGUAUAAUUUCCCGCUUCCACUAACCUGCACAGUACUGCAUUAGGGCACCUCUCGAAUAACGUGAUGUCAUGCUAUGCUUCUGUGAUUGCAUUUGUCUGCCUUAAUUUAUUAUUUCUUCCCCCUCCUCUCUCUCGAUAGACCCCGAGACCGAUGAUGACCCGAUGAUCGUCUACCUCAUCGAAGACCCGUUGGUGUCUGCAAAGCAACUGGGCAAGCAAACCCCCCAUUGAUCAUUCUAAUAUCGCCCAUUUCCUUCUCUCUUAUGCUUGCAUUGUAACUGCUACUACUUUUUGUAUGAUCCUGUUGGAAACAUGCCCUAGAGGCAAUAAUAAAAGGAUUAUUAUUAUAUUUCCUUGUUCAUGAUAAUUGUCUUUUAUUCAUACUAUAAUUGUAUUAUCCGGAAAUCGUAAUACACGUGUGAAUACAUAGACCACAAUACGUCCCUAGGAAGCCUCUAGUUGACUAGCUCGUUGGUCAACAGAUAGUCAUGGUUUCCUGACUAUGGACAUUAGAUGUCGUUGACAACGGGAUCACAUCAUUAGGAGAAUGAUGUGAUGGACAAGACCCAAUCCUAAGCAUAGCACAAGAUCGUGUAGUUCGUUUUGCUAGAGCUUUUCUAAUGUCAAGUAUCUCUUCCUUAGACCAUGAGAUCGUGUAACUCCCGGAUACCAUAGGAGUGCUUUGGGUGUACCAAACAUUACAACGUAACUGGGUGACUAUAAAGGUGCACUACAGGUAUCUCCAAAAGUGUCUGUUGGGUUGACACGGAUCGAGACUGGGAUUUGUCACUCCGUAUGACGGAGAGGUAUCUCUGGGCCCACUCGAUAAUGCAUCAUCAUAAUGAGCUCAAAGUGACCAAGUGUUUGGUCACGGGAUCAUGCAUUACGGUACGAGUAAAGUGACUUGCUGGUAACGAGACUGAACGAGGUAUUGGGAUACCGACGAUCGAGUCUCGGGCAUGUAACGUACCGAUUGACAAAGGGAAUAGUAUACGGGGUUGCUUGAAUCCUCGGCAUCGUGGUUCAUCCGAUGACAUCAUCGAGGAGAAUGUGGGAGCCAACAUGGGUAUCCAGAUCCCGCUGUUGGUUAUUGACCGGAGAGCCGUCUCGGUCAUGUCUGCGUGUCUCCCGAACCCGUAGGGUCUACACACUUAAGGUUCGGUGACGCUAGGGUUAUUAGGAAGACUUGUAUGUGAUUACCGAAUGUUGUUCGGAGUCCCGGAUGAGAUCCCGGACGUCACGAGGAGUUCCGAAAGGGUCCGGAGGUAAAGAUUUAUAUAUGGGAAGUUGUCAUGCGGACACCGGAAAGUUUCGGGGGCAUAUCGGUAUUGUACCGGGGCCACCGGAGGGGUUCCGGGGGUCCACCGGGAGGGGCCACCCCUCUUGGUGGGCCACAUGGGCCGCAUGGGGCAGGGAACCAGCCCCUGGAGGGCUGGGCGCGCCCCCCCUUGGGCCCAUGCGCCUAGGGUUUGGGGGGGAACCCUAAAGGGGGCGCACCCCCUUUGCUUGGGGGGCAAGCCCCCUCCCUGGCCGCCGCCCCCCUCUAGAUCUUAUCUAGAGGGGGCCGGCCCCCUUCCCCCUUCCCCUAUAAAUAGAGGGGUGAGGGGAGGGCUGAACACCUGAUCCAAGGCGCAGCCCCUCCCCUCCCCAACACCUCUCCUCCUCCGUUGUGCGCUUGGCGAAGCCCUGUCGGAGUACUGCCUCUCCACCAUCAUCACGCCGUCAUGCUGCUGCUGGAGCCUUCUUCCUCAAUCUCUCCUUCCCCUUUAUGGAUCAAGAAGGAGGAGACAUCGUCCGUAUCGUACGUGUGUUGAACGCAGAGGUGCUGUCCGUUCAGCACUUGGUCAUCGGUGAUUUGAAUCACGGCGAGUACGACUCCAUCAUCACCGUUCCCUUGAACGCUUCCGCACGCGAUCUACAGGUGGUAUGUAGAUGCAAUCUCUCUCCCAUGACUCAUUGCUUAGACAAACUCAUAGAUGGAUCUUGGUGAAACCGUAGGAAAAAUUUUAAUUUUCUGCAACGUUCCCCAACAGUGGCAUCAUGAGCUAGGUCUAUGCGUAGUUCUCUAUUGCACGAGUAGAACACAAUUUUGUUGUGGGCGUAGAUCUUGUCAACUUGCUUGCCGCUACUAGUCUUUUCUUGCUUCAGCGGUAUUGUGGGAUGAAGCGGCCCAGACCAACCUUACACGUACGCUUACGUGAGACAGGUUCCACCGACUGACAUGCACUAGUUGCAUAAGGUGGCUAGCGGGUGUCUGUCUCUCCUACUUUAGUUGGAGCGGAUUAGAUGAAAAGGAUCCUUAUGAAGGGUAAAUAGAAGUUGACAAAAUCACGUUGUGGUUAUUCGUAGGUAAGAAAACGUUCUUGCUAGAACCCAAUUGCAGCCACGUAAAAGAUGCAACAACAAUUAGAGGACGUCUAACUUAUUUUUGCAGCAAUUGUCAUGUGAUGUGAUAUGGCCAGAAGUUGUGAUGAAUGAUGAAUGAUAUAUUGUGAUGUAUGAGAUCAUGUUCUUGUAAUAGGAAUCAUGACUUGCAUGUCAAUGAGUAUGACGACCGGCAGGAGCCAUAGGAGUUGUCUUUAUUCUUUGUAUGACCUGCGUGUCAUUGAAGAACACCAUGUAAAUUACUUUACUUUAUUGCUAAACGCGUUAGCCAUAGAAGUAGAAGUAGUCAUUGGCGUGACAACUUCAUGAAGACACGAUGAUGGAGAUCAUGAUGAUGGAGAUCAUGGUGUCAUGCCGAUGAUGAAGAUGAUCAUGGAGCCCCGAAGAUGGAGAUCAGAGGAGCUAUAUGAUAUUAGCCAUAUCAUGUCACUAUUAUAUAAUUGCAUGUGAUGUUUAUUAUGUUUAUGCAUCUUGUUUACUUAGAACGACGGUAGUAAAUAAGAUGAUCCCUUAUAAUAAUUUCAAGAAAGUGUUCCCCCUAACUGUGCACCGUUGCUAAAGUUCGUCGUUUUGAAGCACCACGUGAUGAUCGGGUGUGAUAGAUCCUUACGUUCACAUACAACGGGUGUAAGACAGAUUUACACAUGCAGAACACUUAGGGUUAACUUGACGAGCCUAGCAUGUACAGACAUGGCCUCGGAACACAGAGACCGAAAGGUCGAACAUGAGUUGUAUGGAAGAUACGAUCAACAUGGAGAUGUUCACCGAUGAUGACUAGUCCGUCUCACGUGAUGAUCGGACACGGCCUAGUCGACUCGGAUCGUGUAACACUUAGAUGACUAGAGGGAUGUCUAAUCUAAGUGGGAGUUCAUUAAAUAAUUUGAUUAGAUGAACUUAAUUAUCAUGAACUUAGUCUAAAACUUUUGCAAAAUAUGUCUUGUAGAUCAAAUGGCCAACGCUCAUGUCAACAUGAACUUCAACGCGUUCCUAGAGAAAACCAAGCUGAAAGAUGAUGGCAGCAACUAUUCGGACUGGGUCCGGAACCUGAGGAUCAUCCUCAUAGUAGCCAAGAAAGAUUAUGUCCUAGAAGCACCGCUAGGUGAAGCACCCAUCCUAGAGAACCAAGACAUUAUGAAUGCUUGGCAGUCACGUGCUGAUGAUUACUCCCUCGUUCAGUGUGGCAUGCUUUACAGCUUAGAACCGGGGCUCCAAAAGCGUUUUGAGAAGCACGGAGCAUAUGAGAUGUUCGAGGAGCUGAAAAUGGUUUUCCAAGGUCAUGCCCGGGUCGAGAGAUAUGAAGUCUCCGACAAGUUCUAUAGUUGCAAGAUGGAGGAAAACAGUUCUGUCAGUGAGCACAUACUCAAAAUGUCUGGGUUGCACAACCGCCUGUCCCAGUUGGAGAUCAAUCUCCCGGAAGAGGCGGUCAUUGACAGAAUCCUUCAGUCGCUCCCACCAAGCUACAAGAGCUUUGUGUUGAACUACAAUAUGCAGGGGAUGGUGAAGACCAUUCCUGAAGUAUUCUCAAUGCUGAAGUCAGCAGAGGUUGAAAUCAAGAAAGAACAUCAAGUGUUGAUGGUCAAUAAGACCACUAAGUUCAAGAAGGGCAAGGGUAAGAAGAACUUCAAGAAGGACGGCAAAGAUGUUGCCGCGCCCGGUAAGCCAAUUGCCGGGAAGAAGUCAAAGAAUGGACCCAAGCCUAAGACUGAGUGCUUUUAUUGCAAAGGGAAGGGUCACUGGAAGCGGAACUGCCCCAAAUACUUAGCGGACAAGAAGGCCGGCAACACUAAAGGUAUAUUUGAUAUACAUGUAAUCGAUGUGUACCUUACCAGUACUCAUAGUAACUCAUGGGUAUUUGAUACCGGUGUCGUUGCUCACAUUUGUAACUCACAGCAGGAGCUGCGGAAUAAGCGGAGACUGGCGAAGGACGAGGUGACGAUGCGCGUCGGGAAUGGUUCCAAGGUUGAUGUGAUCGCUAUCGGCACGCUACCUCUACAUUUACCCACGGGAUUAGUUAUGAACCUCAAUAAUUGUUAUUUAGUGCCAAGUUUGAGCAUGAACAUUGUAUCUGGAUCUCGUUUGAUAUGAGAUGGCUACUCAUUUAAAUCCGAGAAUAAUGGUUGUUCUAUUUAUAUGAGAGAUAUGUUUUAUGGUCAUGCCCCGAUGGUCAAUGGUUUAUUCUUAAUGAAUCUCGAACGUAAUGUUACACAUAUUCAUAGUGUGAAUACCAAAAGAUGUAAAGUUGAUAACGAUAGUCCCACAUACUUGUGGAACUGCCGCCUUGGUCACAUUGGUGUCAAGCGCAUGAAGAAGCUCCAUGUUGAUGGACUUUUAGAGUCUCUAGAUUAUGAAUCAUUUGACACAUGCGAACCAUGCCUCAUGGGCAAAAUGACCAAGACCCCGUUCUCCGGAACAAUGGAGCGAGCAACCAACUUAUUGGAAAUCAUACAUACUGAUGUGUGUGGUCCAAUGAGCGUUGAGGCUCGUGGAGGAUAUCGUUAUGUUCUCACUCUCACUGAUGACUUGAGUAGAUAUGGGUAUGUCUACUUGAUGAAACACAAGUCUGAGACCUUUGAAAAGUUCAAGGAAUUUCAGAAUGAAGUAGAGAAUCAACGUGACCGAAAGAUAAAAUUCUUAUGAUCGGAUCGUGGAGGAGAAUAUUUAAGUCACGAAUUUGGUACACACUUAAGAAAAUGUGGAAUCGUUUCACAACUCACGCCGCCUGGAACACCUCAGCGUAACGGUGUGUUCGAACGUCGUAAUCGCACUCUAUUGGAUAUGGUGCGAUCUAUGAUGUCUCUUACCGAUUUACCGCUAUCAUUUUGGGGAUACGCUCUAGAGACAACUACAUUCACUUUAAAUAGGGCACCGUCUAAAUCCGUUGAGACGACACCGUAUGAAUUAUGGUUUGGGAAGAAACCUAAGCUGUCGUUUCUAAAAGUUUGGGGAUGCGAUGCUUAUGUCAAGAAACUUCAACCUGAAAAGCUCGAACCCAAGUCGGAAAAAUGCGUCUUCAUAGGAUACCCUAAGGAAACCAUUGGGUAUACCUUCUACUUAAGAUCCGAGGGCAAGAUCUUUGUUGCCAAGAACGGAUCCUUUCUGGAAAAAGAGUUUCUCUCGAAAGGAGUAAGUGGGAGGAAAGUAGAACUCGAUGAAGUACUACCUCUUGAACCGGAAAGUAGUGCAGCUCAGGAAAACGUUCCUGUGGUGCCUACACCGACUGGAGAGGAAAUUAAUGAUGAUGAUCAAGGUACUUCUGAUCAAGUUGCUACUGAACUUCGUAGGUCCACAAGGACACGUUCCACACCAGAGUGGUAUGGCAACCCUGUCCUGGAAAUCAUGUUGUUAGACAACAGUGAACCUUCGAACUAUGAAGAAGCGAUGGCGGGCCCAGAUUCCAACAAAUGGCUAGAAGCCAUGAAAUCCGAGAUAGAAUCCAUGUAUGAAAACAAAGUAUGGACUUUGACUGACUUGCCCGAUGAUCGGCGAGCGAUAGAAAACAAAUGGAUCUUUAAGAAGAAGACGGACGCGGAUGGUAAUGUCACCAUCUAUAAAGCUCAACUUGUCGCUAAGGGUUAUCGGCAAGUUCAAGGGAUUGACUAUGAUGAGACUUUCUCUCCCGUAGCGAAGCUUAAGUCCGUCCGAAUCAUGUUAGCAAUUGCCGCAUACUAUGAUUAUGAGAUAUGGCAGAUGGACGUCAAAACGGCAUUCCUUAACGAGCAUCUUAAGGAAGAACUGUAUAUGAUGCAGCCGGAGGGUUUUGUCGAUCCUAAGAAUGCUAACAAAGUAUGCAAGCUCCAGCGAUCCAUUUAUGGGUUGGUGCAAGCAUCUCGGAGUUGGAACAUUCGCUUUGAUGAGAUGAUCAAAGUGUUUGGGUUUAUGCAGACUUAUGGAGAAGCCUGCGUUUACAAGAAAGUGAGUGGGAGCUCUGUAGCAUUUCUCAUAUUAUAUGUAGAUGACAUACUUUUGAUGGGAAAUGAUAUAGAAUUCUUGGACAGCAUAAAGGCCUACUUGAAUAAGUGUUUUUCAAUGAAGGACCUUGGAGAAGCUGCAUAUAUAUUAGGCAUCAAGAUCUAUAAGGAUAGAUCGAGACGCCUCAUAGGUCUUUCACAAAGCACAUACCUUGAUAAGAUUUUGAAGAAGUUCAAAAUGGAUCAGUCCAAGAAAGGGUUCUUGCCUAUACUGCAAGGUGUGAGAUUGAGCUCGGCUCAAUGCCCGACCACGACAAAAGAUAAAGAAGAGAUGAGCGUCAUCCCCUAUGCCUCAGCCAUAGGAUCUAUUAUGUAUGCCAUGCUGUGUACCAGACCUGAUGUAAACCUUGCCGUAAGUUUGGUAGGAAGGUACCAAAGUAAUCCCGGCAAGGAACACUGGACAUCGGUUAAGAAUAUCUUGAAGUACCUGAAAAGGACAAAGGACAUGUUUCUCGUUUAUGGAGGUGACGAAGAGCUCGUUGUAAAGGGUUACGUCGACGCUAGCUUCGACACAGAUCUAGAUGACUCUAAGUCACAAACCAGAUACGUGUAUAUGUUGAAUGGUGGAGCAGUAAGCUGGUGCAGCUGCAAGCAGAGCGUAGUGGCGGGAUCUACAUGUGAAGCGGAAUACAUGGCAGCCUCGGAGGCAGCGCAUGAAGCAAUUUGGGUGAAGGAGUUCAUCACCGACCUAGGAGUCAUACCCAAUGCAUCGGGGCCGAUCAAACUCUUCUGUGACAACACUGGAGCUAUUGCCCUUGCCAAGGAGCCCAGGUUUCACAAGAAGACCAGGCACAUCAAGCAUCGCUUCAACUCCAUCCGUGAAAAUGUUCAAGAUGGAGACAUAGAUAUUUGCGAAGUACAUACGGAUCUGAAUGUCGCAGAUCCGUUGACUAAACCUCUCUCGCGAGCAAAACAUGAACAACACCAGAACUCUAUGGGUGUUCGAUUCAUCACAAUGUAACUAGAUUAUUGACUCUAGUGCAAGUGGGAGACUGUUGGAAAUAUGCCCUAGAGGCAAUAAUAAAAGGAUUAUUAUUAUAUUUCCUUGUUCAUGAUAAUUGUCUUUUAUUCAUGCUAUAAUUGUAUUAUCUAGAAAUCGUAAUACACGUGUGAAUACGUCCCUAGUAAGCCUCUAGUUGACUAGCUCGUUGGUCAACAGAUAGUCAUGGUUUCCUGGCUAUGGACAUUAGAUGUCGUUGACAACGGGAUCACAUCAUUAGGAGAAUGAUGUGAUGGACAAGACCCAAUCCUAAGCAUAGCACAAGAUCGUGUAGUUCGUUUUGCUAGAGCUUUUCCAAUGUCAAGUAUCUCUUCCUUAGACCAUGAGAUCAUGUAACUCCCGGAUACCGUAGGAGUUCUUUGGGUGUACCAAACAUCACAACGUAACUGGGUGACUAUAAAGGUGCACUACAGGUAUCUCCGAAAGUGUCUGUUGGGUUGACACGGAUCGAGACUGGGAUUUGUCACUCGUAUGACGGAGAGGUAUCUCUGGGCCCACUCGGUAAUGCAUCAUCAUAAUGAGCUCAAAGUGACCAAGUGUUUGGUCACGGGAUCAUGCAUUACGGUACGAGUAAAGUGACUUGCCGGUAACGAGACUGAACGAGGUAUUGGGAUACCGACGAUCGAGUCUCGGGCAUGUAACGUACCGAUUGACAAAGGGAAUAGUAUACGGGGUUGCUUGAAUCCUCGACAUCGUGGUUCAUCCGAUGACAUCAUCGAGGAGAAUGUGGGAGCCAACAUGGGUAUCCAGAUCCCGCUAAUGGUUAUUGACCGGAGAGCCGUCUCGGUCAUGUCUGCGUGUCUCCCGAACCCGUAGGGUCUACACACUUAAGGUUCGGUGACGCUAGGGUUAUUAGGAAGACUUGUAUGUGAUUACCAAAUGUUGUUCGGAGUCCCGGAUGAGAUCCCGGACGUCACGAGGAGUUCUGGAAGGGUCCGGAGGUAAAGAUUUAUAUAUGGGAAGUUGUCAUGCGGACACCAGAAAGUUUCAGGGGCAUAUCGGUAUUGUAUCGGGGCCACCGGAGGGGUUCUGGGGGUCCACCGGGAGGGGCCACCCCUCUUGGUGGGCCAGAUGGGCCACAUGGGGCAGGGAGCCAGCCCCUGGAGGGCUGGGAACGCCCCCCUUGGGCCCAUGCGCCUAGGGUUUGGGGGGGGGACCCUAAAGGGGGCGCACCCCCUUUGCGUGGGGGGCAAGCCCCCUCCCUGGCCGCCGCCCCCCCUCUAAAUCUCAUCUAGAGGGGGCCGGCCCCCUUCCCCCUUCCCCUAUAAAUAGAGGGGUGAGGGGAGGGCUGAACACCUAAUCCAAGGCGCAGCCCCUCCCCUCCCCAACACCUCUCCUCCUCCGUUGUGUGCUUGGCGAAGCCCUGUCGGAGUACUGCCUCUCCACCAUCAUCACGCUGUCGUGCUGCUGCUGGAGCCUUCUUCCUCAACCUCUCCUUCCCCCUUGCUGGAUCAAGAAGGAGGAGACGUCGUCCAUACCGUACGUGUGUUGAACGCGGAGGUGCUGUCCGUUCAGCAUUUGGUCAUCGGUGAUUUGAAUCACGGCGAGUACGACUCCAUCAUCACCGUUCCCUUGAACGCUUCCGCACGUGAUCUACAAGUGGUAUGUAGAUGCAAUCUCUCUCCCAUGACUCGUUGCUUAGACGAACUCAUAGAUGGAUCUUGGUGAAACCGUAGGAAAAAUUUUAAUUUUCUGCAACGUUCCCCAACAGAUCCUACCCUGAUGCAUAGCCUGCUUUUGUUACCUGCUUUCAUACCUUACCUUCUUAUUCUAAAUUUCUUACUAUAGGUUUGUCGGAUUUAGGGUUCCCCAAACCCUUGAUAGGUUUGAACUCUGGGGUGCGUGCGGAGAUCUCAACCUACCCAACCUGCCUACUUGCGAUCCUCACAGCCUAGCGCGUCAAGCUCAAAGGGACAGAGAGACACAACAAUUUAUCCUGGUUCGGACCACCUUGCGAUGUAAUACCCUACUCCAGAUUUGUGGUGGAUUGCCUCGAUGGGUUGAGGAUGAACUAGUAUAGUGGAUGAACAACCUCAGGAGGUGAGGUGUUCUUGAGCUCGGGUGAGCUGGUGAAGUGGUGAGAGAGGAACGGAUCUCAUCCCCCUCUAUGGUGGUGGCUAAGUCCUAUUUAUAGUGGCCUUGCUCCUCUUUGCAAAUGUUGGUGGGAAGGGACCCCACAAUGGCCAGAUUUGAAGGGGGAGAAGAAGUAAACCCUAUCCUGAAUAAAGUGGUCUUCGCCUGCAAAAGGCUCUGGUCGUGACGCCGCGGUGGGCUCAGCGAUGACCUCCGUCCUGCCGUCCUGGCGGUCUUGGUCUUGUUGCACCAGAAUGGAAACCUUUGGCUGAUUCCUCGGGACUCCGCGCUUGCUACUUGCCUCCUUUGCGCCAAAGGGGAAAUUGGUACUCUGCACCCGCUGGCGCCCGCCUGGCCUUGGUCGUCAUGGCUCAUGUCAGCUAAAUCUCAUGAGGUGUACCUUGCAUAGAAGUCUCCGCUCCUCGAGAGUCAGCCUGAGGAGGUCGAUCCCCUUGGAGGUCUUGAUGUCGCUCACCUCGUGAGGCUUGGUCCCUCGCGAGGGUUUUGAGUUGUUGAUGCUGAAGCUGGGCCGUACCAGGCCGUCAAUGGAGCCGCGCAGUGAGCCGGAGGCAGGCAAGUCUGGGUACCUCCGUAUCCAGAACACCGAUAGUAGCCCCCGAACCCAAGGCGCGCUCUGACUUGGUUUCUAGGCGAAGCCCAAGGGUAAGUGUGGAGCACCGUGGGCCCUAACCGCCUGUGGCCUUGAACAACAUGUGGCGAUCGAUGGGACGUGGGCGUAUCCACUUCCCCAUGCUGCCUCGGCAACCAUUUGACUUGACAAGUCGAUGCUGCAUGCAGAAAAUCAUCAUUACGCAAGGUCGUGGAGGCCGGCAGUUGGCCUCCCUCCAGCUAUAAAUGAGGGAAGGGGUAGAGCCCGUCUUGCUCAUCUCUUCCUCCAUCUUCUCGCUGCUCGCCCCUUCUCCUUCUCCAUCUUGCUGUAGCAUCCAUGGCGCCACCGCGGAGGUUCUCGGCUGCUGAGAAGGGAAAAGCCCCCAAGGAGUGGCCAGCUUCCCCACCACCCAAGAGAGGCCGCGCCCGGCCCUGCAAGCACGCCACGAACCCAGCGAUGGCUCCUAGGGGUGCAGGCGUGCAUCUCCAAGGUCCGGCAUCUCCGUCGGCGCCCGUGGUGGUACUUCUUCUCGCGGCGGGGGCCACGGGCCCCGGCGCAGCCCCCACGGCGAAGGGAGGCGCGUCGUGGUUGCGUGCCCUCCUCGACCAUGCUUCUCCUUGCUAGACGUCCUCCCCGAGUUUGUGGUGUGGUCAGAGAGGCCUGCCGGCACCUCACUCUGACUUCCGCGCUUCUUCUCCAGCGAGCUGCCAUCCUCGGGGAUCGACGGCCUCUGGUUGCAGGCUGACGGCUGCUGCAGCAGGGCCUCUUUGGUGGGGACUAAGGUCGCCGGCACGGGCAACAUGGUCCUGACCCGUGGCUGGCAGACGUUCGCCCGCGCACGAGGCCUGAGCGGGACAUGCACCCUCCACUUCAAGUACGACGGCAUGGUCACCCUCUUCGUGAGGGUGUUCAAGGAGGACGGCCACCGCGUUGGGUGCUGCCUAGAAGACAGCAGUGACGACGAGCUCGGCCUUGACAUCGGCUACACCGGUGAUGAGGGUGAAUUUGGCCUUGGCGACGCCCACUCCUCCUCCCAUAGUGGCAGCUCCUCCUCGGAUGAGAGCUCGAGCAGCGGUGGCUACGACCAGCCUCCACACAGUCGAGCUCGGAUCGAGGGUGGCGGUGGGUCAUCUUGCCGCCAUGCCCCGAUGAAGCUAGAGGAAAGCCUGGCCUGAGCUCAAAGCCGACAAACUUGGACUCGAGACCUGCCACGGCCUCGGGCCACUUGCGGGUGAACUGGUGGAGUGCCGGGGGCAUCUUGAGGUGCUUCUUGAGGAUGCGGCGCUGGCGCUGGAUCCGCACGCCCUUGGGCCACUUCUGUUUAACCUUUUCUUUCUUGCGCAAUUCGGAAAAAGUAGGGUGCCCCGCUAGGGUGUGUAAUGAACUAUGGUAGUUAUGCCCUUUUAUGCAAUGCUUAUUAUCUUAAUGUUGUGCCAUGAUGUCUAUACUCUGGGUAGGCAAGGGUAGGAUAACUUAGCUUGACGUGUUUGUGGUGGCUUCCCACCUCACGAGGGCGAGGCCCUUGGCGCCUGGUGAAGCUCCCAUUACUGGUGACUCGGGAGGAGCUUAAGGCCUCGGAAGGUGUUGUAGAUCCGCUGUAGAGCUGUUUAGAGAAAAAGAAAGCCUGUCUAGCACCUCGUUCCCAUUUGCGUGAGCCCCCUCUCAUAGGUUAGCUGUGGCUUAUUGCACCAUGUCACGCUGCCUGAGGGGCAUGGACAUGAUGGGGUGCUGGUGCCCGUGAGCUUGAUCGAGAGCUCCUCGCAAGGAUAAAGCUGAAGCACUAGGGAAACGGGGUUCGGCAAGGUGUGGUCAUGCGAGGGCGGGCCCAUGAGCACACACCUGUCUAGCCCCCAUGCGCGAGGAAGGGCGACAUGCAACUGCCACACCUUCCUGGCCCAGGCUAAGAAUGAACGAAAUGAGAGAGGGAAAAUCCAACUUGGUGGACCAAAGCACGAAAGCACCAACUCCAUUAGAGACUACUAAAAGACUGCAAGCAACUUCGGAAAGCAAAUGAACAGCCGCGUCUGGCACCUAGUCUAGUCUUCUCACCAGCGCGGAGCUAAGUGCUGCCACUAGGACGUGGGAGGGAUCCCUCGUGAGGCCCCAGGGCGGCUCUCAGGAGACUUCGAGGCAUGUAUAGCCCCACUCAUUAUUACGUGAGAGUGUCACGAGCAGAGGCCUUCACAGGCCAGAGCCUUGCUUCAUGGGUAGAACUUCUGGAGGUGCUGGAUGUUCCAGGCGUUCUGGAUGGGGACCCCGUCCUGUAUCUCUAGGCAUGCGGCGCCAGGCCUAGAGACACGGGCAAUCCUAAACGGGCCCUCCCACAUGGGAGAGAUCUUGUGCAGCCCCUCCCUGGAGAUCACCCACCUCAGGACAAGGUCACCCACCUCCAACGUCCUGGAGCGGACGCUGCGGCAGUGGUACCGCCGCAGCGCCUACUGGUACCUUGCCGCUCGGAGCGAGGCUUGACGGCGGCAUUCCUGCCCCAGCACGAGAUCCAUCCCCCGUGUGGCGUCCUGAGGUGCCUCGUCGAACGCCAGGACCCGCGUGGAGUGAUGCUUGACCUCGUGUGGGAUAACCGCUUCAGCUCCAUAGACAAGGAAGAAUGGCGUCUCUCCCGUUGGCUUGGUCGCGGUGGUGCGGAUGGACCACAUCACCGAGUGGAGCUCGUUGAGCCAGCCCCUGCAGCAGGCCUCAAGCUUCUUCUUGAAGGUCCUUGCCUUGAGGCCCCUCAAGACUUCGGCAUUGGCGCACUCAGCUUGGCCGUUGCUCCUGGGGUGUGCCACUGAGGGAUAGCAUAUCUGUGUUCGAAGGUUAGCACAUUAUGUUUUGAAAAGGUUGCUAGUGAACUGCGAGCUGUUGUCGGUGAUGAUGCAGUUAGGGACCCCAAACCGGCUCACGAGGCCUUUGAUGAACUUGACGGCUGAUCCAGCUGGGAUGGUGCAGACGGCUGAUGAUGCGGUUAGGGACCCCAAACCGGCUCACAAGGACUUUGAUGAACUUGACGGCUAAUCCAGCUGGGAUGGAGCGGACGACUUCUACCUUCGCCCACAUGGUGAACUUGUCGAUGGCGACGUAAAAGUAGCGGUAGCCCCCUGGCGCUCGGGGAAACGGCCCCAAGAUGUCCAGCCCCCAGACCAUGAAUGGCCAUGUGAGCGGGAUAGUCUGGAGGCCUUGCACGGGCUGGUGGAUCUGCUUGGCGUGGAACUGGCAUGCUUCACAGGAGCGCACCAGCUCGAUGGCAUCGUUGAGUGCUGUGGGCCAAUAGAACCCACUGCAGAACGCCUUUCCCACGAGGGUGCGUGAUGAAGAGUGGUGUCCACAGUCCCCACCAUGUAUGUCUGCUAGCAGUUCGAGCCCCUGCUCCCUGGAGAUGCAUCGUAAGGAAACAUCAUUGGGCCUUUUGCGGUACAACUCACCGUCACGGAUGCAGUGCGCGCUGGCCUGAUGAGCCACGUGUUCGGCAUCCUCCUCCUUCUCCGGCAGGGUCCCUUGAAGUAGGUACGUCUUCAACUCCUCGGUCUAGCACCCCUCCUGAGGCUCGAGCGCGAGGAGCAGACGGGCCCCUGAGGGAGGGCCGCAUGCUGGGGAGCCGGUUGCUGGUGCUUGGGGUAGGUCCUCCUAAGGUGGUGCUAGUGCCGUGGUGGGGGGAACUGUCGAUGGCUUGAAGAGCCGUUCCUCAAACACCCCUGGCUCCUUAGGUAGCCUCCAGGAUGCCCUCUUGGCGAUGUUGUCCGCCUCCUUGUUCGUUCCUCACGGCACGUGCUGCAGUUCCAAGCCCAGGAACCAUUUCUCCAUCUUGCGUACUUCUUCCAGGUAUGCCUCCAUGUGCUCGUCCUCGGGUGUGUACUCUUUGCUGGAGAAGUUGAUGAGGAGCUGGGAAUCGCCCUUGAUGGUGAGACGCUUCACCCCCAGCACCGCCCCGGCCCUAAGGCCGGCGAGCAAGCCUUCAUACUCUGCGAUGUUGUUGGAGACCUUUUCGCCCUACUGAAAGCAUAGUUGUAGAAUGUAGUAGAGUUUGUCCUUGGUGGGUGAGAUGAGGACGGCCCCAGCACCUGCACCUUGUUGUGAGAACGUGUCGUCGAAGUACAUGAUCCACCCGCCUGGUGCCUCGUCUGCAGGCAAGAGGGAGCGAUCCUCGCUUAUCCCGCGGCCAGGGACAUCAGACCAUUCUGCCAUGAAAUCUGCAAGGGCCGCGCCCUUGAUGACUCUGGUGGUGCUGAACUCGAGCUGGAACGCCUGGAGCUCGGUGUUCCACUCUGCAACCCGCCCGGUGGCAUUAGGGCUCCGGAGCACCCUCUCUAGUGGGUAGUCUGAAACGACCUUGAUGGGGUGGCCUUGGAAGUAGUGGCGCAACUUUUGGGAGGCGAGGAGGAGUGCAAGUAAGAGCUUUUGGGGCAUGAGGUAGCGUGCUCGUGCCUCCCGUAGUACUGUGCUGACGAAGUAGACCGGGUGCUCGACGAGGGAAGAGGUGUUGGUGAGGUCUUGUGUUUCUUGAGGAUGCGGGCCUUCGGGGGUCCCAUCUCCUGCCGUGCCAAGUGCGUCCUCGCGAGUGUCAGCCUCAGGAGCCCCCCCUGGGCCGAGGGGUCGGGUUUAGCCUCGGGAGGAAUGUUGGUCGUAGAGUCAGCCGAGGCCUCAGGAGCACCGUCCUGAGGCUGCUGUGCUUUGCUUGGUGGCUGAGCGCCCUGCUGAGGGUCCUUGAUUGUGCGCUCCUCUCGUAGCACCAUCAGGGCGGUGCUGGCAGAGUGAGGGGUGGCAGCCAAAUAGAGCACCAGGGGCUUGAGAGGGUGCGGCGCCACCAUCACCGGCGGGCUGGUCAGGUAUCUCUUGAGGUCUUGAAAGGCCGCAUCAGCCUCAGGAGUCCACUCGAACGGCCCCUUCUUUUUCAUCAGCUUGAAGAACGAGAGGGUGCGUUCCCUGAGAUUGGAGAUGAAGUGCCCCUGUGAGGUCACGCAACCCGCCAGCUUCUGCAUCUCCUUGAGCGUCUGCGGAGGGCUCAUGUCUUCUAUUUCCUUGACCUUCUCCGGAUUGGCCUCGAUUCGUCUGUGUGACACUAGGAAACCUAGUAGCUUUCCAGAGGGAACCCCGAACACGCACUUCUCGGGAUUGAGCCGCAGGUCCACCUUGUGCAAGCUGGCAAACGUUUCCUCCAGAUCCUCAAUCAGGGUCCUCGCCUCCCGAGACUUCACCACUAUGUCAUCAACAUAGGCCUCAGCAUUCUCCCAAGCUGCCGGCCAAGGGUGAUGUGCAUCAGCCGUUGGAAGGUAGCCCCAACAUUGCGUAGCUAGAAAGGCAUGUAGGUGUAGAAGUACACCCGCAGGGGGUCAGGAAUGCCGUCUUCUCCACAUCUUGCACGGCCAUCUUGAUCUGGUGGUAGCCCGAGAAAGCGUCCAAAAAGCACAAUAGGUCGCACUCGGCGGUGGAGUCAACGAUCUGGUUGAUGCGUGGAAGCGGGAAGGGAUCCUAAGGGCAAGCCUUGUUGAGGUUGGCGAAGUCAACACACAUGCGCUCCUUCCCUCCUUUCUUGGGGACGACGACUGGGUUUGCCAGCUAUUGCGGGUACCGAACCUCCCGGACGACUCCAGCAUCCUGCAGCUUGCGGGGUUCUUGGAUAAUGAAUGCUUGCUUCUCGGUGGACUAUCGACGGGCCUUCUGCUUCACCGGGCGCACGUUUGGGCAUACCUUCAGGUGAUGCUCGAUUAUUCCCCUUUGAACCCCGACCAGGUCCUUGAGCUCCCAUGCGAACACAUCCUUGUUGGAGCGCAAGAAGUUGACCAAUGCUUUCUCUUGGUCCUGGGGGAGGCCAGCUCCUAUGGUGAAGGUGACGCCUGACGCCCCAUCCUCAUUGAUGUCUACUAUGCAACUUUAUUCUUGUAGACACGUGUUGGGCCUCCAAGCGCAGAGUUUUGUAGGACGGUACAAUUUUCCCUCAAGUGGAUGACCUAAGGUUUAUCAAUCCGUGAGAGGUGUAGGAUAAAGAUGGUCUCUCUCAAACGACCCUACAAACAAACACAAGAAAUCUCUUGUGUCCCCAACACACCCAAUACAAUGGCAAAUUGUAUAGGUGCACUAGUUCGGCAAAGAGAUGGUGAUAAAGGUGUAAUAUUGAUGGUAGAAAUAUAUUUUUAUAAUCUGAAUAAAUAAAAACAGCAAGUAGAAAAUAGUAAAUGGGCACAAAAACGGUAUUGCAAUGCUUAGAAACAAGGCCUAGGGUGCGUACUUUCACUAGUGCAAUCUCUCAACAAUGCUAACAUAGUUGGAUCAUAUAACCAUCCCUCAAAGUGCAACGAAGAAUCACUCCAAAGUUCCUAUCUAGCGGAGAACAUAAGACGGAAUUGUUUGUAGGGUACGACACCACCUCAAAGCUAUUCUUUCGUUAGAUCUAUUCAAGAGUUCAUACUAAAAUAACACAAAGCUAUUCUUUUCGUUUGAUCUAUCCUAGAGUUCGUACUAAAAUAACACCAAAUCAAAUAUAGAUUUAUAAUAUUCAAUCCAACACAAAGAACUUCAAAGAGUUACCCAAGAUUUCUACCGGAGAAACAAAGCCAAAAACGUGCAUCAACCCCUAUGCAUAGAUUACCCCAAUGUCACCUCGGGAAUCCGCGAGUUGAGUGCCAAAACAUAUAUCAAGUGAAUCAAUAUGAUACCCAUUGUCACCACGAGUAUUCAAUUGCAAGACAUAUGUCAAGUGUUCUCAAAUCCAUAAAAUUAUUCAAUCCGAUAACAACGAAAUCUCAAAGGGAAAAACUCAAUUCAUCACAACAAGAUAUAGAGGGGAAACACCAUAUGAUCCGACUAUAUUAAUAAAGCCCGCGAUACAUCAAGAUUGUGCAUCUCAAGAAGAUGAGAGAGAUAGAGAGAGAUUAAACACAUAGCUACUGGUACAAACCCUCAGCCUCGAGGGUGGACUACUCCCUCCUCAUCGUGGUGGCCGCCGGGAUGAUGAAGAUGGCCACCGGUGAUGAUUCCCCCUCUGGUAGGGUGCCAGAACGGGGUAUAGAUUGGAUCUCGUGGAUACAGAGGCCUUGCAUCGGCGGAACUUCUGAUCUAGGGCUACCCCGAAGGGUUUUGGAAUAUUUGGAAUUUUAUAGGGCGAAGAAGGGGUGCGGGAGGCCACCGAGGUGGGCACAACCCACCUGGGUGCGCCUGGGGGCCCAGGCGUGCCUUGGUGGGUUGUGCCCCCCUCGGAGCACCCCCCAGGUGCUGCUCUGGCCCAUGCUGAGUGUUCUGGUCCAUAAAAGAUCCUCCAGGAGUUUCGCGGUGUUUGGACUCCAUUUGAGAUUGAUUUCCUGCGAUGUAAAAAAACAAGCAAAAAAUAGCAACUGGCACUGGGCACUGGAUCAAUAGGUUAGUCCCAAAAAAUGAUAUAAAGUUGUUAUAAAUGAUUGUAAAACAUCCAAGAAUGAUAAUAUAAUGGCAUUAAUACUUCAUAAAUUUUAGAUACGUUGGAGACGUAUCAACAUCCCCAAGCUUAAUUCCUACUCGUCCUCGAGUAGGUAAAUGAUAAAAGAAAUAAUUUAUGAAGUGUGAAUGCUAGCAAAGUGCAUAAGUUUGAUCAAUGAUAAUUUCAAUCACUUUUCCUAGCAUCAUAACAACAAUUAUUUCUUAUAAAAAUUCUCAUGUUAUAGUAGCAACCAAUUCACAUGUUAAGGUUCAAACAAUGAAUUCUCUUGAAACUCAACAACCUAUGUUAUCAGUCAUCAAGCAAUUGCAAUUCAACUUAUUCAAGAACAAAGUCUAAGUAAAAGCUCCACAUACUCAACCAUCAUAUAGUCUUUUAUGAUUGCUAACACUCACCGCAUACACAUGAGCAAAACGUUUCAACAGGACACAUAGAAAGAUAGGGGCUUAUAAUUUUGCCUCCCAACGUAUUCACUUUGGGUGAUGUCAACAAUAAUAACUCAUGCUACCCAUAUUCCGCUGGACAUAUGUGCCUAGAUCUUUCCUCACCACAUGAUGCUUGCCAAAGGAGAACAAUAAAAAGGAAUAGAAAGAAAAACUUUGGCUCUUGCAUAAAAGUAAAUACAUAGUAAAAGAUAGGCCCUUCACAGAGGGAAGCAGAGGUUGCCAUGCGCUUAUUUGUUUGUGUGCUCAACCCCUUAAUGCAAAAGAACGUCACGUUAUAUUGCCCCUUACGAUAGCAACCUUUAUUAUGUAGUCUAUCGCGUUUAUUCUUUGCCAUCACAAGUUCCUACAACGCUCAAUUUUCUCUUACACUAAAUGAUCUAACACUUUUAAAAGCAAUUUUUAUUGCCUUAUUGCACCGAUGAAAACUUACUUGAAGGAUCUUACUCAAUCCUUAGGUAGGUAUGGUGGACUCUUGAAACAAGAUUUGGGUUUAAGGGUUUUGGAUGCACAAGUAGUAUCUCUACUUGGUGCAAAUUUUUUGGCUAGCAAAGAUAGGGGGCAAGCACCACAUGUUGAAGGAUCUAUGACAAUAUAACUUCUAUGUGAAUAUGUACAAACAUAAAUCAUUAUGUUGUCUUCCUUGUCCAACGUCAACAAUUCUGGCAUAUAAUAUUUUGAUGGGGGCUCACAAUCACAAAAGAUUUCCAAGAUAGUGUAUUUGCAUGUGAAAGUUCUCUUCCUUAUACUAAUUAUUCAUGAAUUGCUUGUAUGACAAUAUUGUGAUUGUCAAGCCUCAAAAGAUUUCACUUUCUAAACCCAAUGUGAAGCUACCACUAGGCAUGAUAUGGUUUCAACUUCGUGAUACUCAAUUCAUUCAACAAUUUACUCAUAGGAUAUAAGUGAAGCACUAGAGCAAUUCCAUAGAAAAGAGCUUCGUUGAUGGGAUGUGAAUGCCGCUUACCUAGCCUCCUAUUUGAGGACUCUAUUUUAUUUAAAAAAUUUCAGGUCUAAGUAUUUUAUUAAAACAUCAAGCAAAAUGAAAAUAAAAUGACAUUUCAAGAGUAUCACAACUCAUGUGAAGAAGCAAAAACUUAGGCUCAACCGAUACUAACCGAUUAUUGUUGAAGAAGAAAGGUGGGAUGCCUACCGGGGCAUCCCUAAGCUUAGAUGCUUGAGACUUAUUGAAAUAUUAGCUUGGGAUGCCUUGGGCAUCCCAAGCUUGAGCUUUUGUGCCUCCUUAAUUCUUCUCAUAUCACGAUUUUCCUAAGUUUGAAAAGCUUCAUCCACACAAAACUCAACAAGAACUCGUGAGAUCAGUUAGUAUAAACCAAUGCAAAACCUUAUCAUUCUCUACUGUAGCAAAUCACUAAAAAAAAUUCAACAUUGCAUACUAAAUGCCGCUGCAUAUUUAAUAGUCCUAUCCUCAAAUAGAAUCAUUAAACAAGCAAACAUAUGCAAACAAUGCAAACAUAACAGCAAUCUGCCAAAACAAUACAAUAUGUAAAGAAUGCAAUAUUCAUCAUACUUCCCUAACUCCAAAAAUUAUGAAACAAACUAAACACUAUAGAAACUUUAUCAGAUAUUAUUUUGCAAAAAAUUUCAACAUUUUAUCAUAUUCUGACUUUUCUAGGGAAUUUUUGCAACAUCGAUAAACUUUCUGUUUUCAAACAGCAACAUGUAUACUUGCAAAACAAGCAUGGCAAAGGCUAUCAUUUCCACUUUUAUUGGAAUAAAAGAUGCAAAACAUUAUUCUAAAUAACAGAAAGCAAAUCCUAACAAAAUAAAUUGACGCUCCAAGCAAAACACAUAUCAUGUGACGAAUGAAAACAAAGUUCCAAAUGAGGUUACCGAUAAUGUUGGAGAUGAAAGAGGGGAUGCCUCCCGGAGCAUCCCCAAGCUUAGUUGCUUGGAUCUUCCUUGGAUAUUACCUUGGGGUGACUUGGGCAUCCCCAAGCUUAGGAUCUUGUCACUCAUUAUUCUCCUCAUAUCGACAUCUCAUCCAAAACUUGAAAACUUCAAUCACACAAAACUUAACGGAACUUUGUGAGAUAGGUUAGUAUGAUAAAGAGCAAACCAAUACACUUUUGGUACUGUAAAAUACAAGAUUCAUAAUUGUUUCCACACAAUGCCUACUGUAGCAUAUCAUUUCCACAAUUCAUAUUGAGCAAUAUAAGCCAUAGAAACAAGGAAAAAGCAAACUAUGCAUUGAAAACAGAAUCUGUCAACCAUACUUCUGCUACUCCAAAAAUUAUGAAACAAAUUGGACCACGUGAGAAAUUUUUAUAUUAAUAUUCUUCAAAAAGAAUCAACUCAAAAGCACUCUUCUGUUAAAAAUGAGAGCUAUUUUCGUGAGCACAAUAGUUUCUGUUUUUCAGCAAGAUCAAAUCAACUAUCACCCAACAUGAUCCCAAAGGCUUUACUUCAUACUUUAUUGAAACAAAAGCAAUAAAACAUGAUUACUACAGUAGCCUAAUCAUGUGAACAUACAAAAACAGUAGGUAAAAGUGUUGGGUUGUCUCCCAACAAGAGUUUUUCUUUAAUGCCUUUUAGCUAGGCAUGUUGAGUUCAAUGAUGCUCGCAUAAAAGAUAAGAAUUGAAACAUAAAGAGAGCAUCAUGAAGCAUAUGACUAGCACAUUUAAGUCUAACCCACUUCCUGUGCAUAGGGAUUUUGUGACCAAAUAACUUUUGGGAGCAAGAAUCAACUAGCAUAGGAAGGCAAAACAUGCAUAACUUCAAAACUUUCAACACAUAGAGAGGAAACUUGAUAUUAUUGCAAUUCCUACAAGCAUAAGUUCCUCCCUCAUAAUAAUUUUCAGUAGCAUCAUGAAUGAAUUCAACAAUAUAGCCAUCACAUAAAGCAUUAUUUUCAUGACACAAAAGCAUAGAAAACUUAUUACUCUCCACAUAAGCAAAUUUAUUCUCAUGAAUAGUAGUGGGAGCAAACUAAACAAAAUAACUAUCAUGUGAUUGAAAAUUAAAAUCAAGAUGACAAGUUCCAUGGUUAUCAUUUUUCUUUAUAGCAUACAUGUCAUCACCAUAAUCAUCAUAGAUAGGAGGCAUGCUUUCAUCAUAAUAAAUUUUCUCAUCAAAACUUUGGGGGGACUAAAAAUGUCAUCUUCAUCAAACAUAGCAUCCCCAAGCUUAUGGCUUUGCAUAUCAUUAGCAUCAUGGAUAUUCAAAGAAUUAAUACUAACAAUAUUGAAAUCAUGCUCAUCAUUCAAAUAUUUUGUGCCAAACAUUUUAUUGACUUCUUCUUCUAACAAUUGAGCACAAUUUUCCGAUCCAUCACUUGCAAGAAAGAUAUUAUAAAGAUGAUCAAUAAUAUGAUGCAACCUCAAUUCCAUUUUUAUGUAGUUUUCUUUUAUAAACCAAACUAGUGAUAAAACAAUAAACUAAAAGAUUCAAUUGCAAGAUCUAAAGAUAUACCUUCAAGCACUCACCUCCCCGGAAGCGGCGCCACAAAAGAGCUUCGUUGACGGGAUUUGAGUGUCGUUUACUUAACCUCCUCGACAACGGCGCCAGAAAAGAGCUUGAUGUCUACUACGCAACUUUAUUCUUGUAGACACGUGUUGGGCCUCCAAGCGCAGAGUUUUGUAGGACAACAAUAAUUUUCCCUCAAGUGGAUGACCUAAGGUUUAUCAAUCCGUGAGAGGUGUAGGACAAAGAUGGUCUCUUCAAACGACCCCGCAACCAAAUACAAGAAAUCUCUUGUGUCCCCAACACACCCAAUACAAUGGCAAAUUGUAUAGGUGCACUAGUUCGGCGAAGAGAUCGUGAUAAAGUUGUAAUAUUUAUGGUACAAAUAUUUUUUUAAUCUAAAUAAAUAAAAACAUCAAGGUAGCAAACACAAAAAUGGUAUUGCAAUGCUUAGAAAUAAGGCCUAGGGUGCAUACUUUCACUAGUGCAAUCUCUCAACAAUGCUAACAUAGUUGGAUCAUAUAACCAUCCCUCAAAGUGCAAGGAAGAAUCACUCCAAAGUCCUUAUCUAGCGGAGAACAUAAGACAAAAUUGUUUGUAGGGUACGAAACCACCUCAAAGCUAUUCUUUCCAUUUGAUCUAUUCAAGAGUUUGUACUAAAAUAACACAAAGCUAUUCUUUCUGUUCGACCUAUCCUAGAGUUCGUACUAAAAUAACACCAAAGCAAAUUCAGAUUUAUAAUAUUGAAUCCAACACAAAGAACUUCAAAGAGUGCCCCAAGAUUUGUACUGGAGAAAGAAAGCCAAGAACAUGCAUCAACCCCUAUGCAUAGAUUACCCCAAUGUCACCUCAGGAAUCCACGAGUUGAGUGCCAAAACAUAUAUCAAGUGAAUCAAAAUGAUACCCCAUUGUCACCACGAGUAUUUAAUUGCAAGACAUAUGUCAAGUGUUCUCAAAUCCAUAUAAGUAUUCAAUCCGAUAACAACAAAAACUCAAAGGAAAAAACUCAAUUCAUCACAACAAGAUAGAGAGGGGAAAACACCAUAUGAUCCGGCUAUAUCAAUAAAGCCCGCGAUACAUCAAGAUUGUGCAUCUCAAGAACACAAGAGAGAGAGAGAUUAAACACAUAGCUACUGGUCAAACCCUCGGCCCCGAGGGUGGACUACUCCCUCCUCAUCAUGGUGCCCACCGGGAUGAUGAAGAUGGCCACCGGUGAUGAUUCCCCCCUCCGUCAGGGUGCCAGAACAGAGUCUAGAUUGGACCUCGUGGAUACAAAGGCCUUGCGGCAGCGGAAAUUCUGAUCUAGGGCUACCCCAAAGGGUUUUGGAAUAUUUGGGAUUUUAUAGGGCGAAGAAGGGGUGCGGGAGGCCACCGAGGUGGGAGCAACCCACCUGGGCGCGCCUGGGGGCCCAGGCACGCCCUGGUGGGUUGUGCCCCCUCGGUGCACCCCAGGUGCUGCUCUGGCCCAUCCUGAGUGUUCUGGUCCAUAAAAAAUCCUCCAGGAGUUUCGCGGUGUUUGGACUCUGUUUGAUAUUGAUUUCCUACGAUGUAAAAACAAGCAAAAAACAGAACUAGCACUCGGCAUUGGGUCAAUAGGUUAGUCCCAAAAAAUGAUAUAAAGUUGCUAUAAAAUUAUUGUAAAACAUCCAAGAAUGAUACUAUAAUGGCAUGAAUACUUCAUAAAUUAUAGAUAUGUUGGAGACCUAUCACUCAUCAACUGGCACUUGCUUCGUCUCGGCUCGGUCUUGGGAAAACAACUGCUUCUUCUUGGCUGGUGCUGCCCCCAGAGCCUUAGGACCCCCUUUCUCUCUCGGGAGCACGGACGCCGUGGACCUGAAGACGAGCUUGAGAGCCUACAACGCGUCCUUGGUGUCCCCUGCCACCGUGAGGACACCACUGCUACCUGGCAUCUUCAUGAGGUUGUGGGCUGGAUGAGUUGCUGCCAUGAACUUGUCCAGGGCUGGGUACCCAAGGAUGGCGUUAUAUGGUAGGUCGAUCCAGGCGAUGUCAAAGUCGAUGAGCUCAUUGCGGUAGUUGUCGCGGGUCCCAAAGGUGACAGGGAGGCGGAUCUGCCCCAGGGGGCUGGUGGAGCCAUCGCCGACCCUGGAGAAGGGCUUGAUGGGGUGGAGCCGGCCAGGGGGCACGUGCAGCAGGUCGAAUGCCUCCGCGGAGAGCAUAUUGAGGUCGGCUCCAACGUCGAUGAGGGUCUUGGUGACCGCCAUGUUGCAAAUGGCGGGGGUGCAGAGCAUCAGGAGCGCGCCUGCUCCCACCGUGGUCGCUGGAUAAUCUUCUGGGCUAAAGGUGAGGUCGGCCUUAGGCGCCCAGCCCAGAGGAGCCCCCGAGCUCACCUGGGCAGCGCUUACUUGGUGGUAGAACUGCUUGAUGUGGCGGACAGAGGGUGGUGCUUGCGAGCCACCUAGGAGAGCUGUGAUGAUGGGGGCGCCAGCGGCGCGAAGUGUGCGAUGAAGAGGCCGUAAGGCUCCUCCCAGGAGGUCACAGAGGACUCCGGCAGUUGAGUGAUAAUCCCCAAGUGCAGAGAAUCAUCAUAGCAAUUUCCAAAGGUGUAAGUGAUAAGCAUGGAGUGUCGAACCCACAAGGAGCUAAAGGUAAGAUCAAUAUUCUCUCAAGUCCUAUCUGCCACUGAUACGACUCUACGUGCACUGAACGUUUGCUUCCAACUAGAAACGAGAAAUAAAAUUAGGUUGUGGGUAUGAAGAGGAUAACUUUGCAUGAUAUCAGAGAGCUAAAAUAUAAAAGUAGGUGUUGUUAUCAUAAAGUAAGAAUAUAUUACUAAAUAUUAUAAAUAACGAGUGUGGAAUAAUGAUGGGUCGGUGUGCGGAAUUAUCCUAGGAAAUUGUUAACAAGACCAGUAAUCACUAUUGUAAUUUCAUAUGAGGGAGAGGCAUAAGCUAACAUACUUUCUCUUCUUGGAUCAUAUGCACUUAUGAUUGGAACUCUAGUAAGCAUCCGCAUCUACUAAAGAUCAUUAAGGUAAAACCCAACCAUAGCAUUAAAAUAUCAAGUCCCCUUUAUUCCCAUACGCCAUGACCCACUUAUCCGUGUUUAUGCUUCUGUCACUCAAGCAACACAGACAAUAAUUAAACCAUGGACAUAUUGCAACACCCUAGAACAGGAAUCCCUCGCGCUUGUGCGACACAGAGGGCACAAUAGGACAACACCAAAAUAAAACAUACAACUCCUACCAAUCUGGAUCAUGAAUCAAUCCAAAGACAAAGGAUAUCUACUCAAAACAUCAUAGGAUGGCAACACAUCAUUGGAUCAUAAUAUGUGGCAUAAGGUACCAUGUUCAAGUAGGGAUUACAGCGGGGCGCGGGAGAGUGGAUCGCAUAAAAGAGAUGAGGAUGGUGAUGGUGAUGUUGAUGAAGACGAUCACCGCGGCGAUGACUCCCCUCCCGAUGGCACUCCGGCGCCACCGAGAGAGAGGAGGAGAGGUUCUCCCCCUUGUGCUCCUUCCUCCAUGGCCUCCCCCUGGAUGGGGAGAGGUUCCCCCUCUGGUCCUUGGCUUCAUGGCGAUGAUGGCCCCUUCGAGAUCCUUCCCCAUGGCCUCCGAUGAUGAUGUCCCCCUUCGGUAGGGUGCCAGAGAGGGCCUAGAUUGAUUUCUCGUGGCUACAGAGGCUUGUGGCGGCGGAACUCCCGAUCUAGGUUAAUUUCUAGAGGUUUGGGCAUUUAUAGGAGAGGUUGGCGUCGAGGACAAGUCAGGGGGCCCACACAGGGAGUCCACGAGGCACAGGGGUGCACCCCCACCCUCGUGGAGCCCACAGGACUCCCCUCCGGUAGAUUUUUGUUCUAGUAUUUUUUAUAUUUUCCCAAAAAAAUCUCCGUUGAUUUUCGGCACAUUCCGAUAACUUUUAUUUCUGCACAAAAACAACACCAUGGUAGUUCUGCUGAAAACAACGUCAGUCCGGGUUAGUACUAAUCAAAUCAUACCAAAAUCAUGUGGAAAUAUUAUAAACAUGGCAUGGAUACUUCAUAACCUAUAGAUACGUUGGAGACGUAUCAGCAUCCCCAAGCUUAAUUCCUGCUUGUCCUCGAGUAGGUAGAUGAUAAAAGAAAUAAUUUAUGAAGUGUGAAUGCUAGCAAGUGCUUAAGUUUGACCAAUGAUAGUUUGAAUCACCUUUUCUAGCAUCAUUAUAUAUCAUAAUAGUAGCUCAACUCAUAAAACUUCUCAUGAUCAAGUAACAAGCUAUUAACAUGUUAAAGUAUAGAUCAUAAACUUUCUUGAAAACUAACAAACCCUGCUCUUAGUCAUCAAACAAUUGCAAUUCAUCUUAUUUUCGGGAAGGGUCUAUGUAAGAGCUUUGAUUCAGCAAACUCCACAUACUCAACUAUCAUUUAAUCUUUCACAAUUACUAAUACUCAUGUGACAUUUAUGGGUUCAAGGUUUUAAUCAGACACAAAGAAAGAUAGGGGCUUAUAGUUUCACCUCCCAACCUUUUAUCUCAAGGGUAAUGUCAACAAUAAUAAUUUAUGAAAACCUACAUCCAAGUGGAUAUAUGUAUCCGGAUCGCUCCAACACAAGGUUCUUGCCAAAGGAAAAAGUGUAAAAAGGAAAGGUGAUGAACACCAUGACUCUUGAAUAAGGGUAGAAGAUAAAAGUAGAAGAUAGGCCCUUCGCAGAGGGAAGCAAAGGUUGUCAUGCGCUUUUAUGGUUGGAUGCACAAAAUCUUAAUGCAAAAGAACGUCACUUUAUAUUGCCACUUGUGCUAAAGACCUUUAUUAUGCAGUCCAUCGCUUUUAUUUCUUCCCUAUCACAAGUUCGAAUAAAGCUUAUUUUCUUUGCACUAAUAGAUCGUGCAUAUUUAAGGAGCAAUUUUUAUUGCAUGCACGAUGACAACUUACUUGAAGGAUCUUACUCAAUCCAUAGGUAGGUAUGGUGGAAUCCCAUGGCAAAACUGGUUUAAGGGAUGUUUGGAAGCACAAGUAGUAUCUCUAUUUGGUGCAAAGAAUUUGGCUAGCAUGAGAGGGAAAGGUAAGCUCAACAUGUUGGAUGAUCCAAGACAAUAUAGCAUUUCGGAUAUAGGAAAACAUGACCCAUUAAGUUGUCUUCCUUGUCCAACAUCAACUUUUUAGCAUGUCAUAUUUUAAUGAGUGCUCACAAUUAAAAAAAAUGUCCAAGAUAGUAUAUUUAUAUGUGAAAUCUCUCUUCCUUCAAUAUUCUUUCAUGAAUUGUUCAAGUGAUCAAUUCUGCGUUUGCUAACUUUCAAUAAAUUACCACCUAUACUUAUUAUGUGUGAAGUCAUUACUCCCCAUGGUAUAAGCAUAUGAAACAUAUAUAGAUUCAGAUCUAUGAUAUUCAAUUCAUUCAACCAUUUACUCAUAGGAUAUAGGUGAAGCACAUGAGUAAAUGACAAACUACUCCAAAAAGAUAUAAGUGAAGAACACUGAGUAGUCAAAUAAUUUUUUUUGAACCUUUGUAGUCAAAUAAUUAACUAGCCAUGGGAAGAUUAUAUUUCCAUUCAAGAUUUCAGAUCCAAUGAUUUUAUUCAAACAACAAGUAAAAUUGAAAAUACGCUCCAAGAAAAACACAUAUCAUGUGACGAAUAAAAAUAUAGCUCCGAGUAAGGUAUACUGAUAGUUUUUGAAGACAAAAGAGGGGAUGCCUUCCGGAGCAUGCCCAAGCUUAGGCACUUGAGUCUUACUUGAAUAUUACCUUGGGGUGCCUUCGGCAUCCCCAAGCUUAGGGUCUUUCCACUCCUUAUUCUCCUCAUAUCGAUAUCUCACCCAAAACUUAAAAACUUCAAUCACACAAAACUUAACGGAACUUCGUGAGACGGGUUAGUAUGAUAAAGAGUAAACCAUUCACUUUGGUACUGUAAAAUACAAGAUUCAUAAUUGUUCUCACACAAUGCCUACUGUACCCUAUCAUUUCUACAAUUUAUAUUGAGCAAUAUAAGCCAUAGAAACAAGAAAACAAGCAAACUAUGCAUAUAAAACAAAAUCUGCCAGAAACAGAACAUUCUGUAAUGAACUACACAUAUACCAUACUUCUGCUACUCCAAAAAUUAUGAAAUAAAUUUUUUCACGUGAGGAAUUUGUCUAUUAAUCAUCUUCAAAAAGAAUCAACUCAAUAUCACUCUUCUGUAAAAAAAUGAUAGCUAAUCUCGUGAGCGCAAAGUUUCUGUUUUUUACAGCAAGAUCACAUUAACUUUCACCCAAGUCUUCCCAAAGGUCUUACUUGGCACUUUAUUGAAAUAAAAGCUAUAAAACAUGAUUGCUACAGUAUCUUAAUCAUGUGAACACACAAAAACAUUAAGGGUAAAUAUUUGGUUGUCUCCCAACAAGCGCUUUUCUUUAACGCCUUUUAGCUAGGCAUGAUGAUUUCAAUGAUGCUCACAUAAAAGAUAAAAUUGAAAUAUAAAGAGACCAUCAUGAAGAAUAAGACUAGUACAUUUAAAUAUAACCCACUUCCUAUGCCUAGGGAUUUUGUGAGCGCAUAGUUUAAAGGAACAAGAAUCAACUAGCAAAGGAAGGCAAAACAAGUAUAUCUUCAAAACUUUAAGCACAUAGAGAGGAAACUUGAUAUUAUUGCAACUCCUACAAGCAUGUGUUCCUCCCUCAUAAUAAUUUUUAGUAGCAUCAUGAAUGAUUUCAACAAUAUAACCAUCACAUAAAGCAUUAUUUUCAUGAUCUACAAGCAUAGAAAUUUUUCUACUCUCCACAUGAGCAAAAUUCUUCUCAUUCAGAAUAGUGGGAGCAAACUCAACAAAAUAACGGUCAUGUGAGGCAUAAUCCAAUUGAAAAUUAAAAACAUGAUGACAAGUUUCAUGGUUGACAUUAUUCUUUAUAUCAUAAAUGUCAUCACAAUAAUCUUCAUAGAUAGCAACUUUGUUCUCAUAAUCAAUUGGAACCUCUUCCGAAAUAGUGGAAUUAUUACUAACUAAAGUUGACACUCUUCCAAAUCCACUUUCAUAAAUAUCACACUAAGAUUGAACACUGAAAGAACAAGUGCUCCUUGGGUGGUUUUGGUAAUCAAUGUCAGCAUAUCUCUUGUUGUAGUAACACUUUUAUCUAGUAUGUUUCAGACAAGUUCAACAAUGGAGUGGCAUGGACUAAAGGAUGUGGAACCCCUUCAAGAUGCUAAGGACAAAGGAUUGGCUCAAGAUUCAAGCUCAAGACUCCACAUUUUACAUUUUAGUGAUCCAAGAUCACAUUGAGUCUAUAGGAAAAGCCAAUACUAUCAAGAGGGGAUGAGGUGUUGCUUAAUGAGUUUCUUGCUCCACAGUGCUUAGUGAUAUGCUCCAAAGCCCUCAACUACUUUCUCACAUCCACUUAUGACCUAAACCUAAAGUCAAACUCGGCCCCACCAAUUCUUUCUAUCCGGCGCCACCGAGUUCAGAUGUCAUAGCCACUGCCACAAACCCUAGGCAAAUCGGUCUCACCGAUAGGGAUCUCGGUCUCACCGAGAUGGGAUUGUAAUCUCUCUGUGUAUGUCCAUUAUCAAAAUCAGUCUUACCGAGAUUGAGCAAUCAGUACUACCGAGAUUACAAUGCAAACUCUCUGGUUAACUUAUUACCAAAAUCGGUCCCACCGAGUCUGUGUAAUCGGUCCCACUGAGUUUGCCUGACCAACUCUCUGGUUAGCUUAUUGCCAAAAUCGGUCUCAUCGAGUUUGUGUAAUCGGUCUCACCAAGAUUACGUUAUGCCCUAACCCUAACCAUAUCGGUCCUACCGAGUUGCAUGUUGGUCCCACCGAAAACCCUAACGGUCACAUUGUUUACUAAAUCGGUUUGACCGAGUUUGUUGAUUCGGUCCCGCCGAGAUUGAUAAAUUGUGUGUAACGGUUAGAUUUUGUGUGGAGGCUAUAUAUACCCCUCCACCUCCUCUUCAUUCGUGGAGAGAGCCAUCAGAACAAACCUACACUUCCAACUUACCAUUUCUGAGAGAGAACCACCUACUCAUGUGUUGAGGCCAAGAUAUUCCAUUCCUACCAUAUAAAUCUUGAUCUCUAGCCUUCCCCAAGUUGCUUUCCACUCAAUUCUUCUUUCCACCAGAUCCAAAUCCUGUGAGAGAGAGUUGAGUGUUGGGGAGACUAUCAUUUGAAGCACAAGAUCAAGGAGUUCAUCAUCAACACACCAUUUGUUACUUCUUGGAGAGUGGUGUCUCCUAGAUUGGCUAGGUGUCACUUGGGAGCCUUCGACAAGAUUGUGGAGUUGAACCAAGGAGUUUGUAAGGGUAAGGAGAUCGCCUACUUCGUGAAGAUCUACCGCUAGUGAGGCAAGUCCUUCUUGGGCGACGGCCAUGGUGGGAUAGACAAGGUUGCUUCUUCAUGGACCCUUCUUGGGUGGAGCCCUCCGUGGACUCGUGCAACCGUUACCCUUUGUGGGUUGAAGUCUCCAUCAACGUGGAUGUACGAUAGCACCACCUAUCGGAACCACGGCUCAAAAAUCACCUCGUCUCCAAAUUGCGUUUGAAAUCUCCAAACCCUUCCCUUUACAUUCUUGCAAGUUGCAUGCUAUACUUUCCACUGCUCAUAUACUCUUUGCAUGCUUGCUUGAAUUGUGUGAAGAUUGCUUGACUUGUGCUAAGAUAGCUAAAAUCUGCCAAAGACUAAAAUUGGAAAAGGCAUAGUUUUUAAUUGGUCAAGUAGUCUAAUCACCCCCCCUCUAGACUUACUUCUCAAGAUCCUACAAGUGGUAUUAGAGCUUUGGUCUCCAUUGCUUUGGUUUAAUCACCAUUGGAGGAAGAUGGAUGAGUCUACUUUGGGGAGUCUUAGACAUCGAGUGCCUAUACUUGAUGGAGAAUAUUUUCAUGAGUGGAAAAAUGAGAUGCUUGUAAUUUUCAAUCAAUAUCAUUUGAACAAGUACAUUGCUAGUCCUUGUGCACCCUAUGUUGAUCCUAUGCAUCCUACCCUUUAUGAGUCGAUUGACAUGAUUAGGAAUGUUAGAACUGUUAAUCUUAUCACUAGAGGCUUGCCUAGAAACUUGAUUGGAAAACUGCCUACUCUUGAGUGUGCCUACACCAUAUGGAAAUUUCUUGAGGAACGAUUUCCUGAUUAUUCUUUGAAAAAUCUGGAUGAAAUUCUUCAUAAGUCGAUUGCCUUGAGUAAGAUGAAUUCCAAUGAUCCUAUGUUUGGUAAUUGUCUAUUUAAACUUAUAAAUCUUAUGCGUGCCAAAGGAAAUGUUGGAAUUAUUAGCGAUAUUAUUUCCGAAGCUACUAGACUUCAUAGAGGAGAUUAUUGUUAAAAUCAUACUAAUGAAUCACCCUCACUAGGAAUUGAUCCACCACAUGACGAUGUUGAACAUGGAUACUAUGAUGAGGAUGAUGAUGAUCACUUUGAUCUCGAUGAUGCAAUGAGACACUUUGGUCUUAUGGCAAACCUUCAGGGAUAUAUGGCAGGAGGAAAGGAAUGGGUUCUUGACAGUGGAUGUACCGAUCACAUGACCGGAGAUAAAGACAUGUUUCGUGAGCUUGCUGAAAAUGAUGGUCCUCGAAAGUAUGUUACUUUCGGUGACAACUCAAAGGGUAAGGUAGUUGGCCUCGGUAAGUUGGCCAUCUCACAUGACAGCUCCAUUCAGAAUGUUAUGCUUGUUGAAUCUCUUGGCUAUAACUUACUUUCAGUAUCUAGACUUGCUAAUUUCGGUUUCAAUGUCCUAUUUACUGAAGUAGAUUGCCAAGUGUUUCAUAGAGACAAUCAUAAAAUGGUCUUUACCGGUAUAUGUAGAGGUGAUCUUUACAUUGUUGAUUUCACUAAAAAGGCUCAACCUAGAACUUGCUUCAUUGCUAAAUCCUCUAAAGGAUGGUUAUGGCAUAGACGACUAGGUCACGUUGGCAUAAGAAACCUUGACAAGCUUAUUAAAGGGAAUCAUAUCCUUGGUGUUAACGAUGUCAUAUUUGAUAAGGAUAGACUUUGCAGUGCUUGUCAAGCAGGUAAACAGGUUGGAGGAAGGCAUCCCAUGAAGAACAUCAUGACCACAAGGAGGCCACUUGAGCUACUUCACAUGGAUCUUUUUGGUCCCAACGCUUACAAAAGUCUCGGUGGAAAUUCUUUUGGUCUAGUUAUAGUUGAUGAUUUUUCAAGAUUUACGUGGGUGUUCUUUCUCGAUGACAAAUCGCAGGUCCAAAAGAUCUUCAAAAACUUCGCCAGGAAGGCUCAAAAUCAAUUUGAAGUGAAGAUCAAGAAGGUUCACAGCGAUAACGGAACGGAGUUCAAGAACGCAAAUGUGGACACCUUUCUUGACGAAGAAGGGAUUUCACACGAGUUCUUGGCUACGUACACACCUCAACAAAAUGGAGUUGUUGAGAGGAAGAACCGGGCGCUCAUCAAAAUGGCUAGAACGAUGCUUGAUGAGUACAAGACGCUGAAGCACCUUUGGGCAGAAGCGGUUGAGACAGCUUGUCAUGCAACAAAUUGCUUGUAUCUACACAAGCUACUUGGCAAGACGGCAUACGAGCUCCUCACCGGUAACAAACCCCAAGUUGGAUACUUUCGAGUAUUCGGCUCAAAGUGCUACAUUCUUGAUAAGCAUCGUCAUUCUAAAUUUGCUCCUAAGUCUCAUGAAGGUUUCCUACUUGGUUAUGGCUCAAACUCUCACACAUACCGUGUCUACAACAAUUUCACCCGAAAGGUUGAAGAGACGGUAGAUGUGAAGUUUGAUGAAUCUAACGGCUCGCAAGUAGAGCAAUUGCCAAUUGAUGUAGGAGACAAAGACCCCUCGGAAGCAAUCCAAGACUUAUCUAUUGGCAAGAUUCGUCCAACGGGGGUGAAGGAGAGUACCUUGUUUGUCCAAGUGGAAGCUUCUACUUCACGACAAGGUGAACCAAGAGUUGAUACGGAAGCAUCCACAAGUGGGACACACCAAGAUGAAGAAAACGAGGAAGUACAUCAAGAACGUCAACAACCUCCUUCUCCACCACCACAAGAGAACAACAACGCCAAUAAUGAAGAAGGCCAAGAAGAAGAAGAACAAGAUGAAGAAGAUUUUCAACCAAGACCCAAGCAAAAGCUUUCACGAGUUCGAGCAAGAAUUGCUAAAGACCAUCCCGUCGAGCAAAUCUACAAUGAUAUCCAAACCGGGAGAAUAACUCGCUCUAAAACUCGCUUAGCUAACUUUUGUGAACACUAUUCAUUCAUCUCUAGCAUUGAACCUAUGAAGGUCGAAGAAGCAUUGGAAGAUCCGGAUUGGAUAAAUGCUAUGCAUGAAGGGCUACACAACUUUGAGAGAAAUCAAGUUUGGACACUAGUUGAGAAGCCCGACAACAACCACAACAUCAUCGGUACCAAAUGGGUGUUUCGCAACAAGCAAGAUGGAGAUGGACAAGUGGUUAGCAACAAAGCACGUCUCGUCGCCCAAGGCUACACACAAGUCGAAGGUAUGGACUAUGGUGAGACUUAUGCUCCCGUUGCUAGACUUGAGUCCAUUCGCAUCUUACUUGCCUAUGCUAAUCACCAUGAUAUCACCUUAUACCAAAUGGACAUUAAAAGUGCCUUUCUAAAUGGUGAAAUAGAGGAGGAAGUCUAUGUUAAACAACCUCCCGGCUUUAUCAAUCCUAAGAAACCCAAUCAUGUUUACAAACUACGCAAAGCUCUUUAUGGUCUUAAACAAGCUCCUAGAGCUUGGUACAAAUGCUUAACCAAGUUCCUUAUUGAAAAAGGCUUUGAAAUUGGAAAAAUUGAUUCUACACUUUUUACUAAAAGGGUUAAUGGAGAAUUAUUUGUAUGCCAAAUUUAUGUUGAUGAUAUAUAUUUGGAUCAACUAACCCUCAUUUUAGUGAGAAGUUUGGAAAGCUAAUGUCGGAGAAGUUUGAGAUGUCAAUGAUGAGUGAACUCAAAUUCUUUCUUGGGUUGCAAAUCAAGCAAACUAAGGAAGGUACUUUUGUCUCUCAAACGAAGUACACUAAGGACUUAUUCAAGAAGUUCAAUAUGCAAGAAUGCAAAGGUAUGUCUACACCCAUGCCUACUAGUGGACAUCUUGAUUUGACCAAAGACAGUGAACCGGUUGAUCAAAGGUUUAUCGCUCUAUUAUUGGUUCAUUGUUAUACCUAUGUGCUUCACGUCCUGAUAUUAUGCUAAGUGUGUGCAUGUGUGCAAGAUAUCAAGCUGCUCCUAAAGAAUGUCAUCUUAAGGCCAUGAAAAGGAUAGUGAGAUAUUUAAUUCAUACGCCAAAUUUUGGCAUUUGGUAUCCUAAGAGGGCCUCUUUCGAUCUUGUUGGCUACUCCGACUCGGACUAUGCCGGGGACAAGGUUGAUAGAAAGUCCACUCAGAGUACUUGCCAAUUCCUUAGUAGAUCUCUUGUGUCUUGGUCUUCCAAGAAACAAAACUCGGUAUCCUUAUCCACCGCCGAAGCGGAAUACAUUGCCGCUGGUUCAUGUUGUGCUCAAUUACUUUGGAUGACCCAAACUCUUAAGGAUUAUGGGAUAUAUGUGAAACAUGUUCCAUUACUUUGUGACAAUGAAAGUGCUAUCAAAAUUACUGAUAAUCCUGUGCAACAUUCUCAAACUAAGCAUAUUGAAGUUCGUCAUCAUUUCAUUAGAGAUCAUGUUGCUAAGGGUGACAUUAAUCUUAAGCAUGUUCACACCGAAAAGCAAUUAGUGGAUAUUUUCACUAAACCACUUGAUAAGAAAGUGUUUUGCAGGUUAAGAGGUGAAUUGAACAUCAUUGAUGCUUCAAACUUGGAGUACAAACUCCAUUAGAUACAUGCAAGACAUGAGCUUAAGACUAAUCCUUGAUAUUUCUCUUAUGAUGAUAAUCCAAUGUCUUGGAUAUAUUUGCACCUUGCAGGUUAUCUAACCCAUGUAGGUACUUGGUUGAAUCAAAUUCCAUGAGAUUGUAACCUACUCAUAUCUUGAGAAAUCUCUACAUCACCAAGUCUCUACACUAUGGUGGUUGAAGACAAGGAAGCACGGAACCAUUCAAACAUAUCUUUUGACAAAUUCUAUGUUCAUGAUUGUCAUUUUGGACACACAAGUGCUCUUCCUUGCAAGAACUAACCCAUGUAGGUAGAUGAACUCAAAUUCCAAGUGGUGCUCCCAACUCUUGAUGAGCUACAUCAACCUUGAGCAACCCACACAAGUUCAACUACAUGAUCAACACCACCAUCCAAGGUAUGUCAUUCCAUCUUAGAGAAGCUUUACUCCAAGACAUGAGUUAAAGCAACUCGACAAGAUGUGAAUACAUCAAGAUGCUUAAACGAAAAAUGUUAACCCCAUUUUGAGCUUAAACGAUGAGUAUGACCUAUGAUCAAGUGAUCUCACUUGACUCCUAAGUCAAUAUACUCUAACAUAGGUGACUUUGUCGCCGACCAAUUCUAGAUGAAGUUCUCUUGUGUUAUUUUCUAUGCUCUUGCAUUUGUCUCUUGCAUGUUUGUUUCCCCUUUCAAAAAAAAACUUCAUCUAGAUUUCCUUUGCAGUUUCUUCUUGUUUUCUGUUUGUUCUGCAUUUCCUGAAUCCAAUUCAUUGCAUAUCAUUCAGUUAAUUCCUUGUGAAUCAUUGUGAGAUCUUACUAGUCUAGUGAGCUGAGGUGACAUGUGUUUUCUCUACGAUGAACUCGGUCUCACCGAUUUGUUGUUUUCGGUCCAACCGAACCCUUUCGGUGCAACCAAAGCAUACCACUCGGUGCCACCGACUUCACAACAGGAAAAACAUUUUGCCACUUAUUCCUCUUUAUCUUCUAAUCCAGCUCCACUCAAUGAAUCGUGUCCUCUACAAGCAUCACAUUUUUAUCAGUGCUUUGUACUGUGACUCAAGGACCUCACCCAUUCACGACAAAUUCCAGAAGGCCCUUCUUGGAAAUUGAUGUGAAAGAGGGAUAGAGAGGUCACAUCAAAGCUUAUCACUUUCAAAGGGAGAGAGAGUAUCACUCCCACAGGGGGAGAGAGAGAUCUCCAGGGGAGAGAAUACUCAAGAAGAGAGUAAUCCUCAAGGAUCCCAGAUGCUUGGUGUUCAAGAGGAGAGAUACCAGAUGUCUUCUUGAGGGGAAAGACACAUUCAUAUGUGCUUAUUUGCAUUAGCUCUGAUUUUCUGUUCCCUAUCUUCUCCAAGCAUCCCAUGCUAGAUUCAGGGGGAGCAAGACAUCUAAGGGAAAGAAAUCAUUUAAAUUCAUUGCAUAUCUUUACCUUUGGGGACAUGUCAAAUCUAAUGUGGUACUUGUUGGGGAACGUUGCAGAAAAUAAAAUUUUUCUACGCUUCACCAAGAUCAAUCUAUGGAGUUCAUCUAGCAACAAGAGAGAGGAGUGCAUCUACAUACCCUUGUAGAUCACGAGCGGAAGCGUUCAAGAGAACGGGGUUGAGGGAGUCGUACUCAUCGUGAUCCAAAUCACUGAUGAUCCUAGUGCUGAACGAACAACACCUCCGCAUUCAACACACGUACGGUUGAGGAAGACGUCUCCUCCUUCUUGAUCCAGCAAGGGGGAAGGAGAGGUUGAUGGAGAUCCAGCAGCACGACGGCGUGGUGGUGGAAGCAGCGGUGAUCUCGGCAGGGCUUCGCCAAGCUCAGCGAGAGGGAGAGCUGGUACGGGGGGAGAGGGAGGCGCUAGGGACUAGGGUGCGGCUUCCCUCCCCCCUCUUUAUAAUAGGGGGCCUAGGGGGUGCUCCGGCCCUAGAGAUCCCAUCUCCAAGGGGGGGGGGGCCUAGGGGGGGGACUUGCCCCCCAAGUCAAGUGGGGCGCCCCCCACCCCUAGGGUUUCCAACCCUAGGCACAGGGAGGCCCAAGGGGGGCGCACCAGCCCACCAGGGGCUGGUUCCCUUCCCCUUUCAGCCCACGUGGCCCUCCGGGAUAGGUGGUCCCACCCGGUGGACCCCCGGGACCCUUCCGGUGGUCCCGGUACAAUACCGGUGACCCCCGAAACUUUCUCGGUGGCCGAAACUGGACUUCCUAUAUAUAAUUCUUUACCUUCGGACCAUUCCGGAACUCCUCGUGACGUCCGGGAUCUCAUCCGGGACUCCGAACAACUUUUGGGUUUCACGUGCUAAUGUCUCUACAACCCUAGCGUAACCGAACCUUAAGUGUGAAGACCCUACGGGUUCGGGAAUCACGCAGACAUGACCGAGACAGCUCUCCGGCCAAUAACCAACAGCGGGAUCUGGAUACCCAUGUUGGCUCCCAUAUGUUCCACGAUGAUCUCAUCGAAUUAACCACGAUUUUGAGGAUUCGAGUAACCCCGUAUACAAUUCCUUUGUCAAUUGGUACAUUACUUGCCCGAGAUUCGAUCAUCGGUAUCCCAAUACCUCGUUUAAUCUCGUUACCGGCAAGUCACUUUACUCGUACCAUAAUGCAUGAUCCUGUGACCAACCACUUGGUCAUAUUGAGCUCAUUAUGAUGAUGCAUUACCAAGUGGGCCCAGAGAUACCUCUCCGUCAUACGGAGUGACAAAUCCCAGUCUCGAUCCGUGUCAACCCAACAGAUAUUUUCGGGGAUACCCAUAGUAUACCUUUAUAGUCACCCAGUUAUGUUGUGACGUUUGGUACACCCAAAGCACUCCUACGGUAUCCGGGAGUUACACGAUCUCAUGGUCUAAGGAAAAGAUACUUGACAUUGGAAAACCUCUAGCAAACGAACUACACAAUCUUGUGCUAUGCUUAGGAUUGGGUCUUGUCCAUCACAUCAUUCUCCUAAUGAUGUGAUCCCGUUAUCAAUGACAUCCAAUGUCCAUAGUCAGGAAACCAUGACUAUCUAUUGAUCAACGAGCUAGUCAACUAGAGGCUUACUAGGGACAUGAUGUGGUCUAUGUAUUCACACAUGUAUUAUGAUUUCCGGAUAACACAAUUAUAGCAUGAAUAACAGACAAUUAUCAUGAACAAGGAAAUAUAAUAGUAAUCAUUUUAUUAUUGCCUCUAGGGCAUAUUUCCAAUAGUACUUAGUGCUCACUCUCUACAUGUCAUCCCAGUCUUGGUAUUCUUUUGGUUUCUUCUGUUUGCUCUGGCUAGUAGGUGUAUCUAUAUUAUCUAACCUUGUUUACGCAGGUUCAUUCCAUCCCAAGCCAACUCAAGACCACAAGGUAAAUUUAUGCAUCACAGUCAUGUGUAUGAGGAAUUCUUGCUGUUGUACAUAUUGUUUGCAAGAAGGACUUAUGAGCAUGAAGGUACAUUUCCCACAUACACAUCUGUUGGUAUCUUUUGCUCUGAUGCAUAUGGCCAAGAUACAUGUAACACUUUGCUUACUCUGACAUGUUCAUGCAUUCACAUGCUUCUACAUUCCAUAUUCACAUGAUUGCAUACAUGUAGGGGGAGCCUAUGCUUGUUACAUGUCUUUCCAAAGCUUUACUUGCUAUUCUCUAUAUCUUUAUCUAAAGCUUUGAUGUAUGUUGUCAUCAAUUACCAAAAACGGGGAGAUUGAAAGCACAAGUGCUCCCUGGGUGGUUUUGGUAAUUAAUGUCAACAUAUCUCUUGUUGGACUAACACUUUUAUCUAGUAUGUUUCAGACAAGUUCAACAAUGGAGUGGCAUGGACUAAAGGAUGUGGAACCCCUUCAAGAUGCUAAGGACAAAGGAUUGGCUCAAGCUUCAAGCUCAAGACUCUAUAUUUUACAUUUUAGUGAUCUAAGAUCACAUUGAGUCUAUAGGAAAAGCCAAUACUAUCAAGAGGGGAUGAGGUGUUGCUUAAUGAGUUUCUUGCUCCACAGUGCUUAGUGAUAUGCUCCAAAGCCCUCAACUACUUUCUCACAUCCACUUAUGACCUAAACCUAAAGUCAAACUCGGCCCCACCAAUUCUUUCUAUCCGGCGCCACCGAGUUCAGAUGUCAUAGCCACUGCCACAAACCCUAGGCAAAUCGGUCUCACCGAUAGGGAUCUCGGUCUCACUGAGAUGGGAUUGUAAUCUCUCUGUGUAUGUCCAUUAUCAAAAUCAGUCUUACCGAGAUUGAGCAAUCAGUACUACCGAGAUUACAAUGCAAACUCUCUGGUUAACUUAUUACCAAAAUCGGUCCCACCGAGUCUGUGUAAUCGGUCCCACUGAGUUUGCCUGACCAACUCUCUGGUUAGCUUAUUGCCAAAAUCGGUCUCAUCGAGUUUGUGUAAUCGGUCUCACCAAGAUUACGUUAUGCCCUAACCCUAACCAUAUCGGUCCUACCGAGUUGCAUGUUGGUCCCACCGAAAACCCUAACGGUCACAUUGUUUACUAAAUCGGUUUGACCGAGUUUGUUGAUUCGGUCCCGCCGAGAUUGAUAAAUUGUGUGUAACGGUUAGAUUUUGUGUGGAGGCUAUAUAUACCCCUCCACCUCCUCUUCAUUCGUGGAGAGAGCCAUCAGAACAAACCUACACUUCCAACUUACCAUUUUUGAGAGAGAACCACCUACUCAUGUGUUGAGGCCAAGAUAUUCCAUUCCUACCAUAUAAAUCUUGAUCUCUAGCCUUCCCCAAGUUGCUUUCCACUCAAUUCUUCUUUCCACCAGAUCCAAAUCCUGUGAGAGAGAGUUGAGUGUUGGGGAGACUAUCAUUUGAAGCACAAGAUCAAGGAGUUCAUCAUCAACACACCAUUUGUUACUUCUUGGAGAGUGGUGUCUCCUAGAUUGGCUAGGUGUCACUUGGGAGCCUUCGACAAGAUUGUGGAGUUGAACCAAGGAGUUUGUAAGGGUAAGGAGAUCGCCUACUUCGUGAAGAUCUACCGCUAGUGAGGCAAGUCCUUCUUGGGCGACGGCCAUGGUGGGAUAGACAAGGUUGCUUCUUCAUGGACCCUUCUUGGGUGGAGCCCUCCGUGGACUCGCGCAACCGUUACCCUUCGUGGGUUGAAGUCUCCAUCAACGUGGAUGUACGAUAGCACCACCUAUCGGAACCACGGCUCAAAAAUCACCUCGUCUCCAAAUUGCGUUUGAAAUCUCCAAACCCUUCCCUUUACAUUCUUGCAAGUUGCAUGCUAUACUUUCCACUGCUCAUAUACUCUUUGCAUGCUUGCUUGAAUUGUGUGAAGAUUGCUUGACUUGUGCUAAGAUAGCUAAAAUCUGCCAAAGACUAAAAUUGGGAAAAGGCAUAGUUUUUAAUUGGUCAAGUAGUCUAACCACCCCCCCCCUCUAGACUUACUUCUCAAGAUCCUACAAACACCCUCCAAAAUAGUGGGAUCACUAAUUCCUAAAGUUUACACUCUUCCAAGCCCACUUUAGAUGAUGAUAUUAUUCAUACUCCAAAAGAUAUAAGUGAAGUUCAUGGAGCAUUCUAUAAUUAAUAUAGACUAACCAAUAUCCAAGCUCAAAAUAUAUAAGUGAAGCACAUGAAGCAUUCCAUAAAACCAUACUCAAAAUAUUUAAGUGAAGCACAAAGAGCAUUCUAUAAUAUCAUUGAAGGUUAUCUCAUACUAGCAUGGUUCCUAUAGAAAAAGAAAAACACAAAGGACACAAAUCAUGUGAACAAAACAAAAACCAAGGUAUACCGAUAAUUGUUGAAGAAGAAAGAUGGGCGCUCUAGCUAGGCGCAUGACCGCCCCACCCUACUCCAACCUCUAGCUAGGCCAUUCCUCUACUCACCCACAACCCCUGUUAUUCUGCGGCGACAGCAGCCUCACACCGCAGUCGAACCUGCCAACCCUCGUACUCCUCUCUGUGUGGGCAUCCACUGUCGUGUCUUCCCCGGCUCCGUGUCGUCCCCUUCCUAGGCCUUGCCGUCAUCCACCGCCUUGGUGCUCUCGGCGCGGAGUGGUCAAUGUGAUCAAGGAACGACUUCCAUCGGAAGAGUACUAUACGUGAAGAGGCUAACAGUUGGGUCCACGACCGCAGCAAGGAAGUGCCUCUUUAUUACGCGCAAAAUAAUGAUUCCUCCACCUGAUAGCAGGGACCCACCGAACGGGCCACCAUAUUUCACAAAAAAAACGUUCCCCCUAACUGCUGGGACCCACCAGGUACAUCUUCGCACGCAAGGAAGUGCCUGAUAGUCGGGACCCACCUAGUAGAAGCGUAUGUAGCGUUGUCAUUCUGGUCGCGAACGUGUAUGUACAUACUGGUCGAUGGGUCUAUCUGUAGGCUACAGCGAUGAACCGUGGCCGAGUAAGGAAGGGCACAUGUCGUAGUAGAGGCGCGCACGUAGCAUGUACACGUAUGUAUAUCCAGGGUACAAGAAAGUAAAUACAACCACGUACGUACUUACGGGCAGGGUCUUAAAUGCCUACUUGCGCAUACGUACGGCCAGGGCUUGUGUACAUGGAGAGGCAGCGACGGUGUCCUGUUCAUGGGCAGCCAACCGACUGGGUCGAAACGGAGAAACUGCAUCGUCAUGUUCAUUGGGAGGCAACCGGCUUGGAUAGAACAGACGAUUGAAACGAGGCCUGGCAUACCGUAGAACGGAGGAAACGGCCUUGUGUUUGACCGCCAAGGGUCAAAACGGGAUGCUGUUCAUCGGGAGGGGUCUGGCGUACUCCAAAACGGAGGAAACAGACUUGUGUUCGAGUGCCUACAGUCGAAACAGGGUCCUGUUGAUCGGGAAGGGUGUGGCGUACCGCAAAAUGGAGGAAACGGGCUUGUUUGGAGUGCUACGGUCGAAAUGAGGGUCCUAUUCAUCGGGAGGGGUGUGGCGUACCGCAAAACGGGCAUCCACGGGCUACUGUUCAUCUCCACCGUCGACCUCCUCCAACCUCCACGGGCUAGUGUUCAUCCACCGUCGACCUCCUCUAGCCUCCACCUGCGACUGUUCAUCCACGGUCUCCUGUUCAUCCAGCCUCCACCGCUCCUCCAUCGGCUACUGUUCAACCACCCCUCUUCACGGGGUCCUAUUCAACCACCCCUCCAUUGGCUACUGUUCAUCCAGCCCUCCACCGGCUACUGUUCAACCAACCCUCCACGGGGUCGUCCUGUUCAUCCAGCCCUCCACAGGGUCCUGUUCAUCCACCCCCAACCGGCUCAAUCGAUCGGGGUCCUGUUCAUCCAGCGGCAAUGGCCUCUACUACCAUGGGGUCCUGUUCAUCCAACCCUCCAUCGGGAACUAUUCAUCCAAACCCCCCCAACAAUGCUCACUGUUCAUCAAGGGAAGGAGGCAGCAGGUUCGAUCGGCUUCAGUUAGCAGCAGUAGCGAAGGAAUCGCUCGAUCGGGUUCCGUUAACAACAAGGGACCGAUCGGGGGUCAGUAACGUAUCUAGUGCAAUCGCUAGGGUUCAGUAGGUGUACGCCUCGCUUGGGUUCAGUUAGAGCCGAACGUCUCGCACCCACACACGUACGUGUACGAGAGAAACGCGCAAUCCCUUCGUGCAUCGCCCGGCCCCGACCACCCACCGUAAUCAGGAACUCCCCGAAAUUUUCCUCGCCCUCGCUUUUACCAUGAUUUUUUCUGUCAUGGACGGCCCAAAGAAUGUCAUGCAGGUGCGUCUCCGGCCCGCCCAGGACAAAAGCCCAUUUUCUGUCAUGAUUUUUUAUCAUAGAAGUAGGAGCUCACCACAUCUAUGAUGAUACCGGGUUUUGUCAUAAUUACCGUCAUAGAAGUGUCAUAAGUAUGACAGAAAAAAAAUUCAUUCGGCCCAAAAUAUCACGGAUGUGUCUUUUUUUUGUAGUGAUGGGCAGUAGCCUUCACGACCUCCGGCGCCGUCGCGGCCAUGGCGUUAUUGUUGUUCCUCUGCGGCUCAUGCAUUUAUCGCCAUGCAGAGCGGUGCGACAACCUGAUCGGCAGCUUCUACCAAGUCGUCUUUGCCGCCUACCGGAACCGCAAGUCCAAUGUGUCACCGGACUUGUUGAUCAUGUACGAGGGCAACGGUGCAAAGAAGCUGGCUCACACUUCAGGCCUCAGGUCAGCCUGCCCUCUAGUGAAUCAAUCGAUACAUAACUAGCAAAUCAAGGUAGUUUGGGUUAGUUUGGUUUUACUAACUUGCGGCCGGGUUAAAAGGGAGCUCUAUUUGGCACGUGAGGCGUGCCCUAUAUUUUUUUUGUUUUUGGGUUUUACUUUUUUCCUAUUUUUGUUUUAUUCUAUGUCAAAAUAAUUUGGCAUCAAAAAAAGUUCUAAAAAUUUAAAAGAACUGUGAAUUUUUAAUAUUUAGAUGAACAUUUUUUAAUUUUAACGAACAUUUUUAUGAGGAUUUUUAAUACUGACGAACAACUUUUUGUAUUUGAUGAACAAAUUUUGAAUUUGAUGAGCAUUUUUUGACCUUGAUGAACAUAAUUUGUAUUCAAGAACAUUUUUAGAAAAAUGAUGAACACAUUUUUUAUUCAAUGAACAAAUGUUGAAUUUGAUGAACAAAAUUUGUAUUCCAGAACAUUUUUGUGAAAAAGAUGAACAAUUUUUUAUUCAAUGAACAAAUUUUGAAUUUGAUGAACACUUUUUGAAAAAUGCUGAACACAUUUUUUAUUCAAUGAACAAAUGUUGAAUUUAACUACGCCUAUGGUGUCUCAAUAUAGCCGGUCCCAAGCCCGGGCAAAGGAGGAGGGUUGUGAUAGGCUUGGCGAGCCAGCAUAAAAACUCAGCCACUCUAUGGAGAUGAAACCCAAAAGAUUUUCAUUGGGGCGUGACCUUCUCAGCGACGCGCCACAUCGGAACCCGGGUGUGGUGGCAAAUGUUUGGCAAGGGUCGGGCCGUCACCCCCUGGUGGCGCGCCGUAUCUUGAUCUGGAUAUGGUGGCAAGUGAGCGAGGAUCCGGUCGUCGCAUCCUUAGUGGUGCGCUACAUCGGCGCCCGGAUGUAGUGGAAAAUGAGCAAGGGUCUUCGCAUUUGACUCGACGAGUGCAAAGGGUAAGGAAGGUAGCCGAGCCUAGGAGGAUUCACUUAGGUAGCUAGAACGUAGAGUCUCUAACAGGGAAGCUUCGAGAGCUUGUGGAUGCAGCAGUGAGGAGAGGUGUUGAUAUCCUUUGCUUCCAACAAACCAAAUGGAGGGGACAGAAGGCGAAGGAGGUGGAGGAUACCAGCUUCAAGCUAUGGUACACGGGGACGGCUGCUAAUAGAAAUGGCGUAGGUAUAUUGAUCAACAAGAGCCUCAAGUAUGGAGUGAUAGACGUCAAGAGACGUGGGGACCGGAUUAUCCUGGUCAAGCUGGUAGUUGGGGACUUAGUUCUCAAUGUUAUCAGCGCGUAUGCCCCACAAGUAGGCCACAAUAAGAACACCAAGAGAGAGUUCUAGGAAGGCCUAGAAGACAUGGUUAGGAGUGUACCGGUUGGUGAGAAGCUCUUCAUAGGAGGAGACCUCAAUGGCCACGUGGGUACAUCUAACAUGGGUUUUGAAGGGGCGCAUGGGGGCUUUGGCUAUGGCAUCAGGAAUCAAGAAGUAGAAGAUGUCUUAAGCUUUGCUCUAGCCUACGACAUGAUUGUAGCUAACACCCUCUUUAGAAAGAGAGAAUCACAUCUGGUGACUUUUAGUAGUGGCCAACACUCUAGCCAUAUCGAUUUCAUCCACUCGAGAAGAGAAGAUGGGCGUGCGUGCCUAGACAAUAAGGUGAUACCUGGAGAGAGUGUUCUACCCUAGCAUAAGCUGGUGGUUGAUGACUUCCACUUUCGGAUUCGUGUCCAGCGGGAUAAGCGUGCCAGAGUCACUAGAAUGAAGUGGUGGAAGCUCAAGGGGGAGGUAGCUUAGGCGUUCAGGAGAGGUGCGUUAAGGAGGGCCCUUGGGAGGAAGGAGGCGAUGCGAACAAUGUGUGGAUGAAGAUGGCAACUUGCAUUCGUAAGGUGGCCUCAGAGGAGUUUGGAGUGUCCAAGGGAAGGAGAAGCGGAGAUAAGGAUACCUGGUGGUGGAAUGAUGAUGUCCAGAAGGCGAUUAAAGAGAAGAAAGAUUGCUUGAAACGCCUAUACCUGGAUAGGAGUGCAGACAACAUAGAGAAUUACAAGAUGGCGAAGAAGGCCGCAAGGCGAGAUGUCAGUGAAGCAAGGGGCCGAGCAUAUGAGGAGCUCUACCAACGGUUAGGCAUGAAGGAAGGCGAAAGGGAGAUCUAUAAGAUGGCCAAGAUCCGAGAGAGGAAGACGAGGGAUAUUGGCCAAGUCAAAUGCAUCAAGGACGGAGCAGACCAACUCUUGGUGAAGGACGAGAAGAUUAAGCAUAGAUGGCGGGAGUACUUCGACAAGUUGUUCAAUGGGGAGAAUGAGAGUUCUACCAUUGAACUGGACGAUUCCUUUGAUGAGACCAGCAUGCGCUUUGUGCGGCAAAUCCAGGAGUCCGAGGUCAAGGAGGCGCUAAAAAGGAUGAAAGGAGGCAAGGCAAUGGGCCCUGAUUGUAUCCCCAUUGAGGUGUGGAAAGCCUCGGGGACAUAGUGAUAGUAUGACUAACCAAGCUUUUCAACCUCAUUUUUUGGGCAAACAAGAUGCCAGAAGAAAGGAGACUAAGUAUAUUAGUACCAAUCUUCAAGAACAAGGGGGAUGUUCAGAGUUGUACUAUUUACCGUGGAGUUGAGCUGAUGAGCCAUACAAUGAAGCUAUGGGGGAGAGUCAUUGAGCACCUCUUAAGAAGAAUGACAAGCGUGACCAAAAAUCAGUUUGGUUUCAUGCCUGGGAGGUCGACCAUGCAAGCCAUUUUCUUGGUACGACAAAUUAUUGGAGAGAUACAGGGAGCAAAAGAAGGACUUGCAUAUGGUGUUCAUUGACUUGGAGAAGGCCUAUGAUAAGAUGUCGCGGAAUGUCAUGUGGUGGGCCUUGGAGAAACAUAAAGUACCAGCAAAGUACAUUACCCUCAUCAAGGACAUGUACGAUAAUGUUGUGACAAGUGUUCGAACAAGUGAUGUCAAGACUGAUGACUUCCCGAUUAAGAUAGGACUGCACCAGGGGUCAGCUUUGAGCCCUUAUCUUUUUGCCUUGGUGAUGUAUGAGGUCACAAUGGAUAUACAAGGAGAUAUCCCAUGGUGUAUGCUCUUUGCGGAUGAUGUGGUGCUACUUGACGAUAGUCGGACGGGGGUAAAUAGGAAGUUAGAGUUAUGGAGACAACCUUGGAAUCGAAAGGGUUUAGACUUAGUAGAACUAAAACCGAGUAUAUGGUGUGCGGUUUCAGUACUACUAGGUGUGAGGAGGAGGAGGAAGUUAGCCUUGAUGGGCAGGUGGUACCUCGGAAGCACACCUUUCGAUAUUUAGGAUCAAUGCUUCAGGAGGAUGGGGGUAUUGAUGAAGAUGUGAACCAUCGAAUCAAAGCCGGAUGGAUGAAGUGUCGCCAAGCUUCUGGCAUUCUCUGUGACAAAAGAGUGCCACAAAAGGUAAAAGGCAAAUUCUACAGGACGGCGGUUCGACCUACAAUGUUGUAUGGCGCUGAGUGUUGGCCGGCUAAAAGGCGACAUGUUCAACAGUUAGGUGUGGCGGAGAUGCGUAUGUUGAGAUGGAUGUGUGGCCACACGAGAAAGGAUCGAGUCCGAAAUAAUGAUAUACGAGAUAGAGUUGGGGUAGCACCAAUUGAAGAGAAGGUUGUCCAACAUCGUCUGAGAUGGUUUGGGCAUAUUCAACGCAGACCUCCAGAAGCUCCAGUGCAUAGCGGACGGCUAAAGCGUGCGGAGAAUGCCAAGAGAGGGCGGGGUAGACCGAAUUUGACAUGGAAGGAGUCCGUUAAGAGAGACCUGAAGGAUUGGAGUAUCACCAAAGAACUAGCUAUGGACAGGGAUGCGUGGAAGCUUGCUAUCCAUGUGCCAGAGCCAUGAGUUGGUCGCGAGAUCUUAUGGGUUUCACCUCUAGCCUACCCCAAUUUGUUUGGGACUAAAGACUUUGUUGUUGUUGUUGAACAAAAAUUGAAUUUGAUGAACAAAAUUUGUAUUCCAGGACAUUUUUAAAAAAAAGAUGAACAAUUUUUUAUUCAGUGAACAAUUUUUUUAAUUUGAUGAACAUUUUUUGAAAACAGUGAACAAAAACAGGUUGUGUGGGCAUUAGUCGGCAGAUACCCAGAAAUAUUUCAUCUAAAUUAUAAUCACCAGCUGUUUAUAAACUUCUCGCUGUGUGCUGAUUCUACUCUAACGUUUUAAUUCUGAUGAUGAGUCGCGCACGUGACAGCCUUGAGAAAUCAUCAACCACCGUGGCACACACGUUGUGUGGAGGGUGCACUGAGAUCUAGCUCGAGCUACUAUCCCCGCGUCGCGUCCGCGCGCGGGAGCCGGACACGACACCACGACUCGGCUACACCGCUGCACCACGGAUGCCGUUCUACCGGUGGCUAGAGCUUGGAACUGAAUCUACAUUCACGCACCGGCCAGCAGAGACAAGACAUGCACUGCAUGAAAACAUGGACAAAGAUCCACACAAAUGGAGAUUCCAUAUCGACAUCAUCAACGUACAAAACAGCCACCGCAACUAAUCACAACUCUCACUCAUGGCACACAGUACAAAUCAGGUCCCGAUCGAUUAUUUCGCCACCAGCAGCACGAACUCAUCUAGUAGCAGUACAAUCUCCGUGCCGCGGCGCGGUGCACGCGGAUCACGGGGCCGACACGCACGGCCCCGCAACUUAUUGCUACCACCACCCGCCACCAACCACAACACACGAGGAGGCCGGCGUACUCGAUC
This 72729-nucleotide long non-coding RNA is filed under the name Triticum aestivum (bread wheat). RNAcentral describes it as "long non-coding RNA (TAES_LNC012357)". The stretch from base 2393 to 2479 matches the Rfam family "MIR1120/MIR1122 microRNA precursor family". The record is from RNAcentral. Lineage: Eukaryota; Viridiplantae; Streptophyta; Magnoliopsida; Poales; Poaceae.